This 62125-nucleotide long non-coding RNA is filed under the name Gossypium raimondii (Peruvian cotton). Its description in RNAcentral is "long non-coding RNA (GRAI_LNC009683)". The record is from RNAcentral. Lineage: Eukaryota; Viridiplantae; Streptophyta; Magnoliopsida; Malvales; Malvaceae.
GAAAUGUUCAGGAAAUCCUAGUGAAGAAGCCUCCUGAUUUGAAGAGACAUCUUUCGUGUGCAAAUUUUCAUAGCUCAGGUUAGAACUGGGCUGACUGAGCAUUGAAGACUGAUCUUGUCCAGCAUAAAUAGAGCUCGUUGUCAGACCACCGGAAGCUGGCAUCCCAAAACGAGAUGGCAGCUGGCGAAGGUGAGCAAAUUUGUCAGAUAUCUUCUCACCACCCCAAGCUUCUGGAGGAGUGAUGGAGGUCUCUUCACUCUUGGAAGAUGGUGUAGGGGUAGAUUCCAAAGCUGUAAAAGACUUCGUCACAUCCUGAAAAGAUAAGUGGUGUACAAACAUCAUUAUGGGGAAAAAGACUGAAAAGCCAUAUCGAUUGCUCUCAAAAAACCAAAUUAAGUAUCAGAAACAGUUCUAUGACUAAAGAACAUAGGAUAUAAUAGCCUGUGAAUCAAGCUCAGCCAAUUCAUUUAUUAAGAGAAAUGAAAGUUGUUGGAAAUGAUAUCCCACUGCAGAUGAUAGUAAGUUGUCUGCAAUUGUAAAUCAGAGAAAUCCUCAAAACAUGCAAAGCCAUACUAAAAACACAGUUGAUCUAUUGGACUUGUUAAUACAAACACUUAUAAUGCUCCAAACAUACAACAUAGUGCACAAAAAGACCACAGUCCCAUUCUAUGCAAAAAUGACAACUUAGGAUCAACUCAUAUACUUGCAUGAAACUAGCAGAACAUUACCAUGAAGAUUUAAAGUAAUAUCUUGUACAAAAAAAUCAAAAUAAAUAUGUUAUGCAUUACUGUUAUCAAUAACAAAAAAGCAAAAAGCAAAAAACCUGUUGAGACAUUGAACUGGACUUCCAAUCAAGUAUUGGGUGAUCACUGGCUCCAUCAUCAGCAAAAGCAAACCUCCUGCUAGAAGGAAACAGCAGGGAGGAUGGCUUCUUAUCACUGGGUAGGUGCUCUUUCUUUGCACCAUCAUGACCAUCCCACAGCUUAUCCGGCGAGGGUGUAAUAGGAUGAACAUCCACAAGAGGGGAAAAUACCUCCAUAUCAUCCUUGAAAUUGAAUGUAGAACGAGGAGCGUGUAAUCUCAUUAGUGUUCCACCUGGCCAUAGAUGGCUUCUAAUUGGUGUUUCGAGAGAAGAAGAGAGAUUGAGUGUGCUUGAUGUUGAUCCAUGAAGAAAACUAGGUAACCUUCAGAAAUUUACUAAACAAUCUGUUUAUAAAAUGAACUUAGACCCCAAAGUAGACCUCCGAUCAUCAAAAUCUAAUCCCCAGUUUGCAUCAGAAAACCCAACUAAAGACAGAGAAUCAGACCGUCGAAAAACAAUUCCAAAAUCAAGUGUAGCAGAUAAAUAUCGUAAUAUCCUUUUAAGAGCAGUCAUAUGAACUGUGGUUGGACUAUGCAUAAACUGACAUACCCUAUUAACCGCAUAAGCAAUAUCAGGCCUAGUAAUGACCACAUACUGUAACGCACCUGCCAGACUCCUGUACUCAGUCGGAUCAGAUAACAACUCACCAUCAUUUUUAGAAAUAUGGAACGAGCUAAUCAUGGGCGUAUGUACGCCUUUAGCAUUCGUCAAACCACUACGCUUCAACAUAUCCCGGAUGUACUUCUUUUGACACAGAUGAAGGCUCCCACAAGGCGACCUGGUAACCUCAACUCCCAAAAAAGUAAUGUAAAUCACCCAUGUCUUUUAACAAAAAUUCAUCAUUCAACAUCUGUACAAACCAGUCAAUAGCCGACGCCAAAUUACCAGUAAUGAUAAUGUCAUCAACAUAAACAAGAACAUAGAGAGUAGAGUCUGAGCGAACUCGAACAAAAAGAGAAGCAUCCGACUUAGAGCCAACAAACCCAACUUGCAAAAGAAAUGUCCUCAACUUCUCAAACCAAGCUCGUGGAGCCUGUCGCAAACCAUAUAACGCCUUCUUUAAUCGACAAACCAAAGGUCUCCCGUCAGAACCAAGCUUAACAUAUCCCGGAGGUUGCUGCAUAAACACUUCAUUAUCAACAUCACCAUUUAAGAAGGCAUUGUUAACAUCAACUUGUCUAAGUGACCACCCUUUAGUAACCGCGAUCGACAAGAUUACCCUUAUAGUGGCAGGUUUGACAACUGGACUAAAUGUUUCUUGAAAGUCACACCCCAGAACUUGAGAACAGCCUUUCGCAACCAGACGGGCCUUGUACCGUUCAACCGAUCCAUCUGGGUUUUUCUUUACUUUAAACAACAAUUUGCAACCUAUAACUUUGCGACCUAAUGGCAUAGGAACCAGUUCCCAGGUACCAUUACGAAUUAAGGCAUCAUAUUCCGUUUGAGCAUCGAUUUGCCACUCAGGGCUAGCGACAGCUUCUUCAAUCGUUGACGGUUCUACAACCUCAACAGCAAGAACCUUGGGUUUAAAAAUGCCAGCUUUUGAACGAGUAGUCAUAGGAUGAAUAUUCACAUUAGGCACAGACACCUCUGGUCCUGUAGGGUCAGACGGAAUUGGAACAGUGGGCGUGGGAGAUUGAUUUUCAGAAUGCAAGACACCAUGAUGAGAAAUAUCUUCUUCAGUCAAAAACUCAUUCAAUAAGGGAGUAUUACGAUAGUUAGUAUUUGUUGGACUAACAUCCACUCUACUCUAAGGACUCCGAGCCCCAGGUACACUAGGCUGACAAACAGGACCAAUAACAGAGUUCCGUUGUAACAAUGGAUUAGUCUCAAGAACAGGAAAAUAAGUAGGUAUAGUACUCACCUCGCGUGACCGAGAUAUAUUUGGUGGAGAGAGGAACCUAGAUUCAUCAAACUCCACAUGUCGAGAAACAAUAACGCGACCAUCCGGCAACAGACAUUGGUACCCUUUGUGACAAGGGCUGUAGCCCAAGAAUGUACAAGGUUGAGACCGAAAUUCUAAUUUAUGACCCUGAAACGGGCGUAAAAACGGAUAGCAACAACAUCCAAAGAUAUGCAGGUGAUCAUAAGUAGGGUCUCGUCCAUAAAGCACACCAUAUGGAGUCUUACCAUCCAAUACUGGUGUGGGAAGACGAUUUAUUAAAUGAACUGCACAUGUAAACGCAUAUGCCCAGAACUCCAUCGAAAGACCCACUUGAGCUAAAAGAGUAAGCCCCAUUUCGACAAUGUGUCUAUGUUUACGCUCGGCGACACCAUUUUGCUCAGAAGUAUGCAGACACGAAACACGAUGAACGAUGCCUUGAGACGCCAAAAUCGAAGCCAACGCUCGAUACUCACCACCCCAGUCGCUCUGGAAUUGCUUGAUGGUCUUGCCAAACUGAGUGUGAACAAGUUUCUGAAACUGAAUGAAGCAAUUCAUAACUUGAGACUUCUGUCGAAUUAGAUAUACCCAAGUAAACCGAGAACUCAUGUCAAUGAACGACACAUAAUACCAAUUGUUACUAGAAGCAACCGAGGCAGGUCCCCAUACAUCAGAUACAACCAACGUAAAGGGAUCAGUAUAUUCAGUCUUGGAAGCCAUAAAUGGCAACUUAUGAAACUUACCCUUUUUACAAGCAGUACAAACAUCGCUAACAGCAAUUUUAUUCAAAGGAACAUCACAUUUAUGUAAAACAUUUUUAACAACAGUUGACGACGGAUGUCCAAGUCGCUUGUGCCAUAACGAAAACAACUCACUGUCAGCAGUCGAGGUCAAACAUUCUACCUGAGUAGCAGACAGAUAAGAACCACCAUCCGGCAUAGUAAACCGAUAUAGCCCAUUAUGAAUAUGCCCCGUCAGUAAAACCUCCUGUGUCACGCUGUCCUUUAUCACACAAUAAGUAGAGUGAAACUAAAAAAAUACCCCAUUAUCAGUAGCAAAUUGUGAUACUGACAACAAAUUUUUUCGAAUAGUUGGGACACAUAACACGUUAGACAACCGAAGCAACAUAGACCAUGUCGGCAAAACACUUUGACCAACAGACGAUAUUAAUGCGGGCGUACCAUUACCCAUUAAAAUAGAAGACGUACCUGAAUAAGGAGUAGCAUUAUGCAUAUCUGACGUAUCCUGACAAACAUGAUUGCUGGCUCCUGAAUCAGGAUACCAAGACGACGUCCCAACUGGUCCAGGAAUCGGCGAGUCAGACGCAUCCCCACUCACUCUAUGUCGAUCGGAGUUAGCAUGAGAACUAGAGAUCGACGGAUCAGAAUAGUCCGACGCAUGUAUAUCUCCCAACCUAGGAAGUCCAAAACAAGGGUUUGAGGCGGAAAAUACUCGCGCACGCAGCUUGGUUCGCCAUGGAACUGUCGUGGUACCGAUCGGAUUAGCUGGAUUGAGCUGAACAUUAUUGACAAAUGGAUUUGUAGGUAUCGAAGGAGGAACAUUUGGUCCAACAUUCUGCCCAAUAUUUGGCCCAACAUAAGACGGCAUGCCAAACCCUCCAUGUACACCAUCAUUUGGCCCACCAGCUUGCGGCCCAGGAGUUGGAGGCCUAAAAUCUCGCCGUUCAUCACUCGGCUUAGGCCACCCAUUUGGCCCAACCUACUGGCCUCCACGCUGCGCAUUGAAGCCCCCUUCAGCACACCAAUUUUGACCAAAAUCAUAUGAAUUUUGACCAGGCCCAAAACAAUUUUGACCUGUAGCACAAUUAACUUGAUUAGUCCCAUAAUGCUGUUGACCAAAAUUAGAAACCUUAGGUCUAGUGUUUGGAUAAGACGGCCAGCCACCAUCACCGGAGUAAAGAUUCAGCAUCUGGUUUUGCUGCGGAGGUGGCACCGGAGACGACUCAUCACGAUGGUACCUAUAAUAGCAUUUUUGAGCCACGUGUCCAAACCGAGAGUAGAUCUGGCAUUGAAGUCGCGGCCGAAACGUCCUUCCACGACCACGCACCCCCGAUCGCCCUCCCGCGACGCAGCAUCUGUAGACACAUCCUCCACCAGAUUUGCAGCAUACACCACCUCUUGACUGGUCUGAGCAUGCCGAGUUUCACACUCUAGUAACGCCUCAACUAGUCGUGGAAACGGCAACGGAGUCGGAGACAACGAAGCCGACAAGACGAUGCCUUCAAACUCAGACGAAAGCCCCGCAAGAAGCACCGCCGUCCUUUCUGCCAUUGAAAUGGAAGAUCCAGAGGAUUCCAACAGAGCACACACACGUUUUAACUUCGCAACAUAAUCACGGAUCGACAUGCUUCCUUUCUUGAGAGAGUGAAGCUCAUGACGCAAUCGUGACUGCCUUUGAUCGGAAUCGGCCGCAAACAUCUCCAACGCCAUGGUCCAUACGUCGUUCGCCGAUUGGACAUCCAUAAAGGAUGAAAGAAUUGAUGAACUUAUGGUGGAGAGAAGCCAAGACGUGAGCAGAUUAUCUUGUUGGUGAUACACUGAUGCCACUGGAUUGACCACAAGCGCACCAUCCGGUGCUUGUACAAAUCUCGACGGCACUGCAAUAGAUCCAUCAAGAAAACCGAAGAGAUCAUAGCCAUUAACAAUGAAUCUUACCUGUUGCUUCCAUUGAAGAAACGUUCCUUCAUCAAGUUUCACAACGUCAUGUCUAGGAAGCGAAUUCACCACACGCUCAGCAGCAAACACCGAGCCAUGCACUUCAGCAGAAUCCGACGCAGCAGAGUUUGUAGUUGCCAUGAUCAAGAACCCCUAGCGACUGAUACCAUGAAGAAAACUAGGUAACCUUCAGAAAUUUACUAAACAAACUGUUUAUAAAAUGAACUUAGACUGUUACUUGGCUCAAUACAAAGCCAGACGAUAGUAUUUAUAACUUGCUAUCUCUAACAAACUAGCUAACUUACCAGCCCUCACUAACUACCUCUCUAACCGUUUUAUUAUCUUUAACAAUCCACUACUACUAAUAAGAGAAGAUACUUCUGCAGGACCUGAACAGCCAGUGAUACGAGAACUAGAAACUGCUGUGGAUGACGAAAGGCUUGUUGAUGUCGCAGAUGGAAGUGGGUCUGGCAUAAGAACAGAAUCCUCUAUUGCACCUCCCAAAAGAGCAGUCUCAGCAGUGCAAGUACUCUCAUUAACAAUGGCAAGUUUUGAUCUUUGCCAACAUAAACUUGAAACAGCCUGAUAGAUGCUAUAAACACUUAGGAUUUAAAAUGUUAAAGGAAUAAGGCUUAUUACUUUCUAUUUACACAAAACACGUUGAAGUUGGAGCACAAACAAGCAAGCAGUGACAUCCAAUUAAUAUCAUUAGUUCCAUUAUAGAACAUGAUCUUUUAUACAAAUACCAUUCAAAAUUCCAUAUCAAGUUAGAGUUCUUGAAGGAAAAUAGAAAGCAAGUGCAAACUACAAGAACUUAUCAGGGCCUGGGUCUCUUUUUAUAUUAAAAAGUGAUAAUAGAGCAAAAGAUAACCAACCUCCGGACUACUAUAAGCACGAAGAACAGUAAAAGGCUGUAGUUUUCCCCGAAUAUCAUAGAACACCACUCUACCAUUACCAGUACCAGCUGACAGUGUCCAACCAUCAUCUUUAAAUGCCAAUGAAGAAAAAGGUGCCUCAUAUGAAAUGAAAGCUGAGGGUCUUCUAGACCCUGAGUCAUAAGUGUAUAGCUUCUUAUCCAACCCAACACUAGCAAUAAUCUGUUGAAAAGGAAAAAGAAUAAUGAAAUGUCAGAAUAUUUAACAAUUUUUGAAAGAUAUCUUAACCAUUAAAAAAAAAAUUCCUUCAUCUCAACCUUCCAGAAAAAGUCAGCCUAUUCCUUUAAUUAAGCCUUAAUAAGGAAAAGAAGAAACAAUGAGACCUUAUCAUUGGAGGGUGAGAAACUAAUGCCAGCUGUCGGAGCAGAGUGCUGUUUCAACCAAGAGACCUGUAAAAGCCAGUGGAUUACAUAUAUGCUUAGAACAUCAAGAAUAUUAAGACAGACAGAGAGAAGAGAACCUUUGGGCUACGACCAGUGGUAUCCCAUAAAUGGACAGAUCCAUCAUCACCUGCAGUCACCAAAAUGUGUCGACUAAUCCGCGAAUAAUCAAGUACCUUUAGUUCCUGGUCUUAAAUCCAUCAGAGGAAAAUUAGCUUGCAAACAUGACUAAGAACUUAACAUAAGCACCCAAAUGCAACAAACUCAACAACCUGUGCAUCGGGAUCUUUUAAUUCAGCAGCCUUUGCCCCAGAAGCAAGGUUGUGAAGUAUCAGAUCCCCACUUAGGCUGAUGGAGGCCAAGUGCUCAUCUUUGCAGUUAUACAUAACACCUGUUAUUGAGCUGGUAUGACCUCUUAACCAUUUGAUGCAACGCUUCCGCUGCAAAUCCCAUAUUCUUACAACUUGACCACUUCCUCCUGAACAUAUGUAUCUGGAUCCCUUGUUGCUAAAGCUAAUAGCUAAAAUGGACUCCUGUAAAUAAAAGGGAUAUUCUGCUUGUUAAAUUUGACAAAGAAUGCCAUGGAAAUAAUUAUAUAUAACUUCAGUAACCAUUUAAACUAAUCAAGGCCUGACAUUAAUGAAUAAGCAAUUUCAGGUGUCAUCAACGAAUAAUCAAUUUUGGGUGUCGAGUAAAAAACUUGAGGAUUUUAGUUACGCAAAUGAGGCCACAAACUCGUUUUCUUUUUUCCCUUUUUUUUUUUUUUUGCCUAAAGCAUUGUGACAUCAAAUUUGAGGAAAAGGACAUCAUUCAAAUGCAAUGCAAAGUGCUAAAUGUUUGAAGCAAGCUUAUCUGUCCAUGCUACUUAAGCGCAUCCUCCUCUCUUGCUAAGUACCUCCACUAAUGUCAGCUAGAAACAUAUGGUAAUUGUAUAGACAGAAAUUUCAAGUCACGAUGAUAUUUUGCACAUUAUAGUCCUACACUACAGACAAUAAUGCAUAGCACAACUCGUCCACAUUAAUAAAGAAGAAAGUUCAGAAAGCAUGAAACUUCUCUCUUUUGUUCAUAAGUAACUCAAUUUACUACAUGAUUUAAUAAUCUACAAUGAGUUUUAUUCAAAAUAUCUUUUAAGUCAGCUGCCAAUCCACAACACACAUCCUAUUGGUAACUUCUAUUUCGUGAUGUAUGCAUUCACAACUAAAAACCUUAUGCGUGACAAUAUGGUUAGAAACAUAAAGUAUAACAAUUUCGGAAUUUAACAUGCAUAAUCUACCUGGAAAUGAACAUUAUAUCCCACUCCAAAAAAAUUUUGGCUUCGAUUCAAAACAAUAAAACUAAAAGUAUUUCAACAAUAUUCAACAGUUAACUAAGUCUAGAGAAGGAUUACCUCAAUGUUAUCUCCACUAUCAGUCCCAUCAACCGGAAUUGUUCCAAUCCUCUGCCCAUUUUUCUUCACAUGCCAUUUGACUUUAUCGAUUUUGUGUGGAUUCCAACAUGGAAAUAGAAAACAGCUUUUGUUUUCAUUGUGGAAAAUCUCUUGCGCUUUUGGAAUUUUGUGUCCACUAGUAUUUUCUUUCUUAAAAAGAAAAAAAGAAAAAAAAUUGCUUUUUAAUUGGAAGAAAUUAUUUUAUAAUUGUUAUGAAUUUUUCAUUAUUAAAUCAACAUCUAUUGAUAUCAAAAUAAAUUUGAUUUACUCUAUAUUUUUCUAUAAACAUUACUAUUAAUCAAUAAAAACAGGAAUAUGUUUGUGCUUUUCCAUAGUUAUAGCUCUGUUUAGGAUGUGGUAGAUGGUAUCAGUUGGACGAGAAGUUAUUCGCCACCCUCAAUGGCUAUGUACCAUUCGAAUUUUAUGGCUUUUGAUUCAAAAUAGUUAGCUCCAAAAUGUGGUUAUGUUAAGCUUAAUACAAAUGGUGUAAUUUCGUCUAGCUCUCACUCAAUUACAAUUAAAGGAGUCAUUAACUAUGUUAAUAGUAAUUAGUUAUGUGGUUAGUCGAUGACAUUAUAAGGAAAUAUGAAGUGUAUAAAAUUAAAGCAAGAUCGAUGUUAGAAGUGCUACAACUAACUUAGGACAAGGGUUAUCCACAUGUUAAGUUUGAAUAUAUGUUAUUUUAUUUAAAAAAAGUUACGUUCCAUAAUAAUAAUAAUAAUAAGUUCAGCUAUUUGCUGUCCAAAGAACAGUAAUUACCAACCUCACACCCAAAAACAGCUCUUCAGAACUUCUGAUAAAGAGAGAUACUUAUCCACUAAUACAUAAAAUAUUCUACUAAUACUUGCAGAUCAGUUUGUGGAAUCUGUUCUGGACCAGCAGGAGAAAUGGAACAGGCUAUUGUGUCCUUAGCUGUUGAAAGAAUUUCUGAUUUACUCAUCCAUGAAGCUGUUUUCCUCAGAGAUGUGAAAGAUCAAGUUGAGAGCCUAAUGGCUGAACUGAAGCGAAUGCAGUGUUUCUUGAAGGACGCGGCUCGCAAUCUUGAACAAGAUGCGCGUUUCCAGAAUCGGGUGUCGGAAAUCAGAAAUCUUGCUUAUGAUGCUGAAGAUGUCAUCGACUCUUUUAUUCUUAAAGCAGCAUAUCAACGAGGUUUUCUUGGGAUUGUCAAGAGAUUCACCUCCAUUUUCACCAAACCUUAUCAUCUGCACAAAAUCGGGUUGCAGGUCAAAGCAAUCAAGACCAAGCUCCAAAACAUUUCCGAGAAUCUUCCAGCUUUUGAAAUACCCGAUGAUGGAGAAGGCUCUAGCUCAAUUUUCAAGGUGCAGCAACAGUUUAGAAGGACAUACUCACAUGUCGAGGAAGAGGACGUUGUUAGCUUGGAAGUUAGCACGAAGGAUGCCAUGACCAUGUUGCUGUUUGAAGAAGAUAGACCCCACGCCGUGGUUUCCAUAGUCGGCAUGGGAGGCCUCGGUAAGACUACUCUUGCCAGAAAAGUAUAUAAUCAUGUUGAUGUGAGACGCCAUUUUGAUUUCUUGGCUUGGUUUUCUAUCUCUCAACAAUGUAAGCCGAGAGAGGUUUUGCUUGGUGUCUUGAAGAAAGUUCUCUCUCCUUCUAACGAUGAAAGAGAGAAAAUUGAGAAAAUGGACGAGAUUGAGCUGAGGAGAACGCUUUUUGAUGCUUUGAAAGAAAAGCGGUAUUUGGUGGUCCUCGAUGAUAUUUGGAGAAGCGAGGACUGGGAUAUUCUUAAACCUGCUUUUCCACCAGGAAGAAAGGGAAGCAAAAUAUUGUUCACAACACGAAUAAAAAAUGUGGCUUCACGUGCCGAUCCAUGGAGCACUCCCGUGGAGCUCUCACUUCUUACAGAUGAUGAAAGUUGGAAUCUUUUGUGUAGGAAAGCAUUCCCACGGAGCAAAAUGGGUUCUCAAUGCUGCUCAGAAGAAUUUGUGAAGCUUGGAAAAGAGAUGGUGAAAAAAUGUGGAGGCUUGCCUUUAGCAAUUGUUGUGUUGGGUUGCUUGCUGGCAACAAAACAGUCAGUGGCUCAAUGGGAGAUGGUUCAUAAAAACAUCCAUGGACACUUAAAUGAGCUCCCACAUCAAGAUCGUCAAUAUGGGGCAGUGAACAGAAUUUUGGUUUUAAGCUACAAUGACUUGCCUUAUCCUUUAAAACCAUGCUUUUUGUAUCUUAGUCAUUACCCAGAAGAUUGGGAGAUACCGAAAAAAGAACACAUUCGUUUAUGGAUCGCUGAAGGUUUCAUUCCGGAAAACAAAGAAUUCUUGAUGGAGGAUUUAGGCGAAAAAUUCCUAGAAGAGCUUAUAGAUAGGAGCUUGGUUCAAGUUAGCAGGCGAGACUAUACAGGAACAAAUGUGGAGACAUGUCGAGUGCAUGAUCUCUUGAGGGAGUUGUGCACGAAGAAAGCAAGAGAUGAGAAGUUCUUGGAAAUUAUUCAACAACCACAGCAUGAACUUGAAGUGACAUUGGCAGAAUCUAUGCUACGAAGAAUUUCUAUUCAUCCUAGUAAAUCGAAAGUUUAUGUGAAGGGAGAGCAUCCAAAAUUACGCUCUUUGUUGUUUUCUCAGAAUGAGGAAUUGGUAGAAUUAUGCAUUUCAAAAUACAAAAGCUUCAAAAUUUUAAGGGUGUUGACUCUUGCAAAAAGGGGCAACUACGAUAAGUGGUGGCAUGUGUCGACUGAAAUUGGUAAUCUCCAACAUUUGAGAUACUUGAAGUUAUACUACAAUAACAAAAUGAUUUUGCCGCGAUCUUUUGGCAGGUUGAAGAAUCUAUACACUUUAUACAUCAAGUUUUGUGAUGACAUUGUAAUUCCAGAUGGUGUGUUUAAGUUAGAACGUUUAAGGCAUAUUGUAAUAAAAUCGUAUGUCUAUGGAUUUCGUUGGCGGCAAGGGUUCACUUCAAAAAAUAUUGAAACUUUGAAGGUCAUAGUGGUGGAUGAGAAGGCGGUUGAAAAUAAUGCGGUGCAUAGGUGGACUAAUAUUCAGAGUUUAGGAAUAGCAUUUACCAGAGCAAAAUAUGUGAAGCCUACCCUAAUCUUGCUAGCCAAAUUGCAACGCCUUAGGUCAGUGUCCUUACGUUUUUUUUAUGGCUCAGGCUCACACCUAGACUUAGAACCCCUUUCUCAAUAUUAUCACCUCUCCAAACUGAAAUUACUGGGUCGGAUAGAAGAUGAGACACAUCCGAACGGUCAUGUUUUGAAAUUUCUUCCAUCAAAUAUUGUCAAAUUAACUUUGAUAAACUGUGAGCUGAGACAAGAUCCAAUGGCGGUAUUAGAAAAGCUAUGUCAUUUGAGGAUUCUCUAUUUGGAGGGAGCAUAUAUUGGGAGUAAAAUGGUGUGCUCUGCAAAUGGAUUUCCUAAACUUGAUUUUCUUGGAAUGAUUUUAAGAAAGCUGGAGGAUUGGGAAAUAGGUGCAAUGCCAUGCCUUCGAGAAUUGGAGUUGAUCCAUGUUAAGAGUUUAAGGAUGCUUCCAGAAGGAUUGAGGUACAUUACUACUCUCCAAGAAUUGAAUUUAAUGUUAGGGAUAUCUUCGUCAUUGAAAGAAAGGAUUGAAGUGAUAGAUGGAAAAGAAGGAGAGGAUUUCUAUAAAGUGCGCCACAUUCCCUCCAUCCACAUUAAAUAUUGAUCCCAAAAUAAUAGGAGCCAACAUCACGUGAGGUAUUUAUAUCUAUAAAAUAAUAAUUUUUACAUUCUUUUUUCUUUUCUUUUUAACCCAUAGAGUUAGAGAUUGAUAUAAUAUUGAUAAAAUAACAUAAUAGAAGAAUAUAUCUUCAAUUACCAUAAAAAUUAUAAUUAAAAUAUAAAAAAAUAAGAAUUUUGAAUAUUUUUCUAGAAAAACUAAAUUUUUAAUAUCAUUUUAUUAUUUCGUAUUUUUAAUUAUUAUACAUAAGAGAUGAUGAUAUAUACAUACCAUUUUUUUCUUGAUGUAGGUUUUCCUAAUCAGCACUGGAAUGCACUUUGCCGAGAUCUAAUUUCAUUGUGUGUUUGCUAUAUAUCUAAUGCUCGCUUCCGGCCUCCCAAUUUGCUUUUUUUUUUUUUAAUUUAUCUUCUUAUUAAUUGGUCAUUUGCAUCUAUUUCAUUGAAAUUAAUCAAUUUAAACCAAAGAAAGAAAUUCUAAGUAACUCAUUAGAUGUUAAAUGGUUAAAUUCAUUAUUUAAAUAGUAAAACAACCUCUUUAAAUUUACAACUCACUAUUUCUAUUAAAAAUUAGAUGAUACAAUGUCAAUCAAAACAUAUAAUAUGUAUACUUUUAUAUGACAUAACAAAAUUAUGUACGAUUUCUUAUAACCAAAUGUAUAAAACAAAUUUAUACUAAUCUUGACUUAUGUGGAAUGAUGAUUAAACUUUUUUAUCAAGUACCCGUUUAAAACAAGUUCAAACUAUAUGACUCCCAUCCCCACCCGAAUAUUAUAUAAAAAGAGUCAACAUUAAUCAUUUUAAAACUUUUAACCGUUUAAUCAAUGAUAUUAAUCAUUCCAUAAAGUUUUUUUUUUAAUCAAAAUCAUCAUAAAGUAUUAAAUACUUUUUACUCAUUUACUAUUUACUAAGAAUAAACCGAUAAUUAAAUAUCUUUGAGUCUAGAAUUAUUUCAACUUUUACCUUGAACCAAACACGGUACUGAAACAUACCUAGUAAUGCGCUAAUCAUCGGGUUAAUCAAACAUUUUGUGAACUAAACUCCCUUUUAAUCUAAAUUCAAAAAAGUUUGUGUGCUUAAGAAAGUUGAGUUUCUCAUAAUUUAUUCUACCUAUAAACAAUAACAGAGUAGCUACUCAACUUUCUAUUGAAGACUUGUUUUAAUAAGGUUACACAAAUCAAAAUGCAUUAAAUUCAGGGAACUCUAUGUACUAAGAUAAUCGUGUUAAAUGCUUCAUUUUCAAUCAACCGAGAAGCAUUUAUAUACAUGUUUCUGAAAAGUAAAAAUCUUAGCCUCACAUUUGUAAGCAGUUUUACUCUGAUAUGAGACAAGCCUACUGAUGAAACAGAAGUUACGGCAAUGUGAUCAGAAGAGGCAUUCACUAACCUCACACGAUAAUGUUGUUUAAUCAGCGCUCAAAGCAAUUGACGAAGCUGCUGAUUUUCUUUCCGGAGAGACUUAACCUCUUCCAUCAGUUCAGCUUGGUUCUGUAAUAUGGAGCUCAUCACACGAGACAUCUCCAUCUGUUCCAAUAAUUUCCGCAAAUUAGAGCUGAGAAUAUUUACAUGAAAGCCAAAGCAACAUAAAGGAAAGGACUAUAGGAAAAUACCUCCUGCAUGUGGAAUUGUCUUAAAAUUUCAAUAUGCAAGUUUCUCAUAUCUCCAUGAAGGGAUUUCUGAAAUGAAUCGAGGGUUUCUUCUAGAAUUCGUUGAAAUAGCUGAAGAGUAAAGUUGCUUCCUUGUUGGGGAUCUUGUUGAGAUGCUUUGGGGGGUUGUAAUGUUCCUCCCUAUUAUGGACACAAUCAAUGCAGUGUCAUGCCCGGGAAAAACAAACUAUGAAAUAUAUAGAAAUUCGUAAAACUCCUUCAUCCAGGAUGACUUCACUACUGAAAUGCAUAAAAAGACCAAAGUGAUUAGAGAAAUUAAUGUAGUGAAUAAUUAUUUAACCAAACCAGAUAUCAUACAUUCAUUGCUGGAAGAACUCCUGAGGCCGCUGCAGUCAAAGAAUCAGACCUCAAUAACAGGCUAUUAAACCGCUUUUCUCUGGUUUCAGCUCCUGUUUCCUUUUGUUUUUGGAGAAGCCACCAAAUGGGAUGUUCCAUCACUAAAUGCAGAUGUAGUACUAAUUCUCUCGGCAUAUGUCAAAAACCUUCGAGGCGGUGCUAAAGAAGCUAGUUUUGGUGAGUCAAGGCUGCCAGCUCUAGUAAUGCCUUUUGAACCAAAAGAUAAAGCAGACAUGGAGCUCGAGGAGAAAUGUUCAGGAAAUCCCAAUGAAGAAGUCUCCUGAUUUGAAGAGACAUCUUUCGUGUGCAAAUUUUCAUAGCUAGGUUAGAACUGGUCUGACUGAGCAUUGAAGACUGAUCUUGUCCAGCAUAAAUAGAGCUCGUUGUCAGACCACCAGAAGCUUGCAUCCCAAAACGAGAUGGCAGCUGGCGAAGGUGAGCAAAUUUGUCUGAUAUCUUCUAACCAUCCCAAGCUUCUGGAGGAGUGAUGGAGGUCUCUUCACUCUUGGGAGAUGGUGUAGGGGUAGAUUCCAACGCUGUAAAAGACUUCGUCACAUCCUGUGAAGAUAAGUGGUGUACAAACUUCAUUAUGGGGAAAAAAGACUGAAAGGCCAUAUCAAUUGCUCUCAAAAAACCAAAUUAAGUAUCAGAAACAGUUCUAUGACUAAAGAACAUAGGAUAUAACAGCCUGUGAAUCAAGCUCAGCUAAUUCAUUUAUUAAGAGAAAUGAAAGUUGUUGGAAAUGACAUCCCACUGCAGAUGAUAAAAAGUUGUCUGCAAUUAUAUUGUAAAUCAGAGAAAUCCUCAAAACAUGCAAAGCCAUACUAAAACACUGUUGAUCUAUUGGACUUGUUAAUACAAGCAUGCAUAAUGCUCCAAACAUACAACAUAAUGCACAAAAAAAGCAAAUUCCCAUCCUAUGCAAAAAUGACAACUUAGGAUCAACUCAUAUACUUGCAUGAAACUAGCAGAACAUUACCAUGGAGAUUUAAAGUAAUAUCUUGUACAAAAAAAAUCAAAAUAAAUAUGUUAUGCAUUACUGUCAUCAAUAAUAAACAAGCAAAAAGCAAAAAAUCUGUUGAGACAUUGAACUGGACUUUCAAUCAAGUAAUGGUGAUCACUGGCUCCAUCAUCAGCAAAAGCAAACCUCCUGCUAGAAGGAAACAGUAGGGAGGAUGGCUUCUUAUAUUGGGUAGGUGCUCUUUUUUUGCACCAUCAUGACCAUCCCACAGCUUAUCCAGCGAGGGUGUAAUAGGAUGAACAUCCACAAGAGGGGAAAAUACCUCCAUAUCAUCCUUAAAAUUGAAUGUAGAACGAGGAGCAUGUAAUCUCGUUAGUGUUUCACCUGGCCAUAGAUGGCUUCUAAUUGGCUUCUAAUAGUAAAACAACCCAUUUAAAUUUGAACUUUAGAAAUUUAUUUAUUAUUUAUUGUACUAGCUUUGAGUUACGAAAAUCUACAGUAGUCACUUUCAAAAUGGUUAGUGUUGCACAGAUGAAGCUCUAUUUAAUCGAUUUAAUCGAAUUUUUUAAAAUAAAAGUAAAAUGGUUAGCUUUUUAUUUCAUCGAUUUAAUAGAAUUUUUUAAAAUAGAUGAAGCUCGCCAACUCACUGAUAAGAUUGAGUUGUUAGGAAUUUUGAAAUUCUAAAUUCUAAAUUUUAUUUUGUAUAAAUUAUAUAUGAAACCCCUCAAAUAAAUAAAUUCUCUUUUUAAAACCUUUUUUUCACCAUUAAAAUUAAACAAAAAUCGUGAUUGUUUUAUUUUCUCAAUUUUUUUUUUAUUUUCUUUCAACAUUCUUUGUACUGUUGUUUUCCACGUGGUCCUUUUAUUCUUGAUAAGAUUUUUUACUGGCCGGCAAAAAAGAUUUGGAGGACGUGGGUUUGAACGUUAAUAAACAAGUACUAAAAUUGUGAAGUUUAUUGAUGGGUAAUUUAGGUAUAGUAUAAAAAAAUUAAUAUAAUAAAAAUAACAAAUAAUUGGAGUAAAGUACACUUAAGGUCACUAAACUACUAGUAAGUUUACGUUUUGGUUAAUUAACAUUUAAAAGUUACAAAACAGUUACUAAAUUAUUUGAAAGUCUUCUUUUAAGUCAUCAGGUUGUUAAAAUCACAGUUAUAUGGCAUUCAUUGUUUGCCCGCUAACUCUUCUACCCCUGCUUUUCUAUAGUUUAGGUUUUUUUUCAUGAAAUAAUUUUAAAUGUCACGUAUCUACGAAUUAAAAUCUAAAUAGCUUUUUUUCUCCGUUCUUCGACACCAACCAUCAGAUUGACUUGAUCUGAUAUAUGUUCUUCUACUCGUCGAUGAGUAUUUAUCCAUCGUACCAUUCAUCAAAUUGUCGCUUUAACCUCGCUAGUCGGACUUUUUUAAAGAAAAAACUAAUAGUCCAAUAACUUAAAUAAAAGUUGUUGGAUAAAUUAGUGACUUAAAUGAAAAUCCUCAAAUAAUUUAAUAAUCAUUUUGUAAUUUUUUGGAGUUAAUUAAAUAAUCAAAACAUAAAUUUAGUAAUAGUUUAAUGGCUUUGAGUAUAAGUUAGCCACGUAAUUAUCAUUUUUUCUUUUGGACUUAUCCAAUCAAUUACGAGCAAUGACCGUUGGGUCUUCAAAGAGGAGAGGAUUUCUAUGAAGUAGGCCACAUUCCCUCUAUCCAAAUACAGUAAUUUGCUUAUAUCUAAAUAGGUGCAUUAGAAAUUUAUUUCUCCAAAAUAAUAGUCUCUUCUCUACUUCUUUUUCGUUUUUUUUCUAAAACGAAACUUGCAAUAUCAUUUCAUAAUUUCUAUUUUAUAUUCUUUUUUAUCAUUAUUAUUAGUAUAGAUAAAAGAUGAUAUACCAAUUUCAUGUUGUUGCUGGUAGGGUUGGAUGCUUUCUUUCAUCUCCAAAUGCAAGCCUGCAAAGAAGCUCAACAUUAAUUGAUUCUUCGUCGAUUUAUUAAGUUGAUGGAUUUUAAGGAAAGAUUUAUAUUUAAAGCUUAGAAAUUUAUUUAUUGUUUAUUGUACUACUCAAUUUUCUCUUAUUUUCUUUCAACAUCCUUUAUACUAUAUUUUCUAAGUGGUCCUUUCAUUUUUGAUAAAAAAAUUUAUUAAUCGGGCAAAAAAAAUUUGGGAUGUGGGUUUCAACGUUAAUAAGGGUGUAAUAUCCGCAUUGUGAAAUUUAUUUACGAGUAAUUUAAGUAUUGUAUAAAGACUAACACAGUAAAAAUAAUAAAUAAUUGGAGUAAAUAACACCAAAGGUCACUAAAUUACUAUUUUGGUCAAUUAAUUUUAAAAAGUUACAAUAUGGUCACUAAAUUAUUCGAAAGUUUUUAUUUAAGUUAUUGGACUAUUGAAAUCUUUAUUAUUGUCGAAACCAUUUUUUUAAUUUUUUUUUAAAAAACAAAAAUUAAAAAUUGGGAAUCGCUACCAAUCUUUUAUUGAGGUGUGAUUGGAUCACCUAAAAAAUAACUUUGGUCUACGAGUUUUAGAAAAAUGGAUCCGGGAGUUGGUUACGUACGAGGAAGGAUUAGCACCCUCGUAACGUCCAAAAUUGAUACCUAGUUAAUUAAUUAGUGUCUUAAUGUCGAAAAUUUAAAAAUAUGAUCCUUAAUAAAAACUUAAAAAAGUUACUUAUUAAGACUCUUAUCAUUUCGGAGAAAAAAAUGUCACACCCAAUGCGUUAGGGCACGACAUUCUAAUUCCUCAAAAAUGAAUUAGUCCAAAAUACUCGUAUAAUAAAAUUUAAAAGAAUAUUCAUUUGUUUAAGAUUUAUAAAGAAAUCGCGGUCCAAUACGUUAGGGCACAAUUUCUCAAAAUCCCAAAUAUUGAAUAUUUCCUUUACUAAUUUUUAGAAAAAAAAAUCUUUAUUUCGAGAAAUCUACACGUCACAUCCAAUGCAUUAGGACACAACAUAUUAAAUUCCCGACAACAAGUUUUUUUGUUUGAUUAAAAAACAUUCUCGAUAAUUAAAUUCAACGAAGAAAAUUGGAACCCAAUGCGUUAGGGCUCAAUCUUUUCGAAGAUUCUAAAUACGAGUAUUGCCUUUAUUUUGAAAACUUUUGAAUAAAAUGAUUUUGAUGCUUGAAUGAUAUCGAACAUAGCCUUUUAAGCGAAUAGAAUGCAAUAAAUGAUAAUAUACAACAGGGAGCGAUAAUUCGUAAAUAAAACAUACACUAAUGAAUGAUAAAUAACAAAUGAAUUCGAAAGAAAAUACAUAAACCUAUUUAAGAGAGAAUUUAAAGGUAAUAGCUAAAAUAAUAUGAAAUCAAUAAUAUAUAGAAUAAAAAUAAGUUAUUACAAAUUAUAUAUGUAUAUAUAAAAUAGUAUUGUAUAAAAAUAUUUUCAUAUAAAUCUUUAAGACAUAUAAACAUGUAAAGUGAAUUUCGAAAAUAUAUUACAAAAUAGGAAUAUCAAAGAAUAUAUACAAAUCAUGUUGAAUUUACCUAAAAUAUAAAAAAGUGUGAUAAAUCGAAAUAAUAGCAAUAUAUAUUGAAUUUCAAAAUAAUGAUACAUUAUAAUUUUUAAAAAGGGUAAUAUAUAUACAUAUAAUUCAAUAAACUUAUAGCCAUAAUACAUAUAAAACGUAAAAUAAAAUAGAAAAUACUAAGCUUAAUCAUUAAAAUAGUAUUAGAUUCAAAAUUAAAUAUAUAUAUUUUUAAAAAUAGUGGAGUAAGAAAUCAAGCACAUUGAAUUAAUAAGGAUUUAAAUUGAACUCCAAACAGAAUUAAAGGAAAAAAAAAUGAAGGGCCCAAUUAAAAGGCGCGAAUGACUUAUAGGGCUCGAAUGGGAAAAUAUAUCCAUCCUUUGAAACGCGUCACUUUAUUAGGACUAAAUAAAUAAAUAAAUAAAAUUCGUAGUGGUAUCACCUUCUCCCUUUUUUAAAAUCGUAAAUAAGUAAAAAAUAAUCGAAAAAAAACAGUAAGCCACCUUUAAAAAACUGCCAAUCGUUCUCCAUUUUUUUAUUGAUUUUUCUCCUCCUUCUACAAUAAAGGGAGAUGCCUCUAUUUAUAGCUGAGCCUCCCCAAAUCCAACGGUACAGAUCAAUUACAUCAACGAUUAAGAUUAAAGGGUAUCUACAAAUUAAAUCUCUAAGAUUACAAAAUCAUAUUUUCUAAGAUUGCAUAUCAUAUUCAAGAUUACAUAUAUCAUAUCUAAGAUUGCAUAUCCUUGAAGAUUAUGUUUCCAUAAGCUUGUAGAUGGACCUUCAACCUUUUCAAGUACUGGGUCAUUCCGAUCGGGCCAAAUGAUAUAAUUUUAUACUAGACUUAGACUUUAUUUUAUUAUUUUGGGUUUAUUAUUUUUUGUGAGCCCGGGCUAAAAUUGAGCAUUACAAGUAUAUGGCAUUUAUUGUUCACAUCGCCUGCACCAAUAAUAAACUCUUUCCCCUUACUCUUCUACAAUUUAGGGUUUUUUUAAUAAAAUAACUUUAAAUAUCACGUAUCUACGAACUAAAAUCUAAAUAGUUCUUCGAUACCGACCAUCAAAUUGACUUAGUCUAAAAUAUAUUCUUUUACUCGUUGAUGAGUAUUGAUCUAUUGUAUUGUUCAUCGAAUUGUCGCUUGAACCUAGCUAGUCAAACUAUUUUUUUAAAAAAAACUUAAUAGUUCAAUGACUUAAACAAAAAAUUUUAAUAGUUUAAUGACUUAAAUGAAAAUUAUUGAAUAUUUUAAUAACUAUCUUUUAAUUUUUUAAAGUUAAAUAAUUAAAAUAUAAAUUUAUUAAUAGUUUAGUGAAGUUGAGUAUAAUUUAUCCAAAUUAUUAUAAUUUUUUCUUUUGGUCUUAUCCUAUCAAUUAUGAAUUGCAAACAACUUUUAUUCCCAAUGUGUGGAAAAUCUGUUGGCGCUUAAAGCUUUUUCUAAAAGCAAUUUUGUUUUUAUUUUAAAAAAAUAGCUUCUAGAUUUGGAGUUUUAUUUUAGUUGAACGGCACACGGCUUUUGAAUAAUUAAAUAUGUUAUGGCUGCUCUACGGGAGUGGACUGUGGCUUUUCCGAGUAGGGCUAAAACCUGUCUUGUUUGAUUGAAUAGUUUGAUUGAUGAAUUAUCUAUUAAGGCUUUUUUAUAAAAAUAAUUCAAAAAAUUUGAUUAUUUAUUUUUAUUAAAUACACAAAUGACAUAAAAUAACGACAUUUUAAAAAUGGAUGACGCAGGUAGUUUUAGACAUUGGUAGCGUCAAAUUAUUUAGUUUCACCAGAAAAAAAAAAUUUUUUUUAAGUUCUCUCAAUUUUUCAAAAAUAGCGAUAUUUUCUUAAUAUUUAUACAGGUAACGUCAUUUUACAUGAUUCUACUAAAAAAUAAAUUUUUAUCCCGAUUGCUGACGUGGUAUGUUGGUGACGUCAAACUCCUUGACUCCACCAUCUUUUACUGUAGGUUUUAGAUCAUUUACAUGUUUAAUAAAAAAUGGAUUAUUUUCAUAAAUAAUCAAAAUUUUUGAGUUAUUUUUAUAUAAAAAAAAGCCUUUAUUUAUGAGUUCAGUUAUUUAUUUAAGCGCAAAAGUCCAUCUUAUAUAUAUAUAUAUAAAAACCGAAUAAAACGAUUUCUUUUUUCUACAAGAAUUUCCAUCAAACGUUAGUUUUUCUAUUCUUGAAACUGACGAGGAAUGUUGAGGAGUGGCAUGUGUCAAGUGAAAUUGGUAAUCUCCAUCAUUUGAGCUUAAGAUGCAAACUCAAAAUACUCUUGCCAUGGGCUAUUGGAAAUUAGCUGAAGAAUUUACACACUUUAUACCUCUAAUGCCAUUAUGACUCUGUAAUUCCAAAUGUAGUGUUCAAGUUGGAAUGUUUAAGGCAAUUUGUGAUGAAAUGGUAUACAUACCCUUGUUAAAAAAGUUGUUUUCUCCUGUGCCUGUUGGAACAUUUUCAAAUAUUUAUAGUAUCCCAAUAACUAUAAAUGAAUGGGUGUAAUUAAUCAAAAGAUAAAACUUUUGGCCAUUGGUCAAAAGUUAUACCAUUUGAUUUUAUAAAAAGAAUUAUAGCUAUUCAAAAAAAUAUUAUUUGAAUAGUUACAAAAUUAAAUGAAUAAAUAUUAUUAUUUAUUUAUUCAUAAAGACACCUAUUGAAAGAUGUCUCUAUGAAGAGACAUGAAAAUUCCUAUAAAUAGGAAUGGGAUUUCAUUUGGAAAGAUAUCAACAAAUUCUAAUUUUAUUUCUUCUCUUCCUUCAUUUUCUAAUAUUAUUAGAUUAUUCUAUAAAGUAUUGCUGCAGAAAUCCUUUGUAGAAAUUGAGUUUUUGUUAUACAUUACUCAGUGCAUAGUGGACUAUUCUCGUCAGUGCAAAACGCAAAUAGUCAUUGGCUUCAUUGUAUCCUCGAGGUUAAUUUGCUUGGAACUCGUUUGCACACUGAAGAUAAGUGGGGGCGAAUAUAACCUUAAAGAUAGUGGCUUGAUACACGCCUUGGAGACUGUCCUAUUUCUUCUUUUCUUUUCAAGUUCCGAUCGUGUGUUCGAGAUUUUCCUUACCGGAGUUUUGUACUAACAAUUUUAAGGUUAUAAUUCAUGAUGACUACCACAACACAUGAAAGUGGAACACUAAGGGAGUUGGCUUCCAACUUUGUUAAACUUGAUCGUUUUGAUGGUGGCAAUUUUCGACGAUGGCAGAAAAAGAUGCACUUUUUGUUAUCAAUUUUGAAGAUUGCUUAUGUUUUGAAUACUCCAAGACCUGAAAAGAAUGAAAACGAAUCUGUUGCUGCAACCCGAGAAAGACAAAAAUGGGACAAUGCUAAUUACAUGUGCAUGGGCCACAUAUUGAAUGGUUUAUCUGAUGGUUUGUUCGACACCUACCAAAACAAGGUCACCGCUAAAGAAUUAUGGGACAAAUUGGAGACAAGAUACAUGACCGAAGAUGUUACAAGUAAGAAAUUUCUUGUCAGUCAUUUCAAUAAUUAUCAAAUGGUUGAUGGUCGUUCUGUUAUGGAACAAUUUCGUGAUAUUGAAAAGAUGCUGAAUCAAUUUAAGCGAUAUGAUAUGAAAAUGGAUGAAAUGAUUGUGGUAUCCUCCAUAAUAGUCAAACUUCCUCCAUCUUGGAAAGACUUUAAAAGAAGUCUAAAACAUAAGAAAGAGGAAAUAUCUCUUGAGGCUUUGGCAAAUCAUCUUCGUAUUGAAGAAGAGUAUCGAAAACAAGAUCAGAACUUAAAUUCUAAAAAUGCCAAAGUACAUGUUACGGAGGAAGUACAGACUACUAAACCAUUCAAGAGAAAGUUCAAUCAGACUGAUAGAGCACCUAAGUUUAAAAAGAAACAAAAGGGCUCAUGCUAUCAUUGUCGAAAGCCAGGACAUUUCAAGAAUGAAUGUCGAUUUUUAAANNNNNNNNNNNNNNNNNNNNNNNNNNNNNNNNNNNNNNNNNNNNNNNNNNNNNNNNNNNNNNNNNNNNNNNNNNNNNNNNNNNNNNNNNNNNNNNNNNNNNNNNNNNNNNNACAUGUGUGCAAAGACAAAAACAUGUUCACAAAGUUCACACAAUGUGAAAAUGACAAUGUCUUGUACAUGGGAAAUUCUUCCAUCGCAGCAAUUAAAGGCAAAGGGUCUGUUGAACUACAAUUCACUUCUGGAAAGGUUUUAACCUUAAAUGAUGUAUAUUAUGUACCAGAAGUUAGGAAGAAUUUAGUGUCUGGAAGUAUGUUGAAUAAGUUUGGUUUCAAACUUGUUUUUGAGGCAGAUAAGUUUAUUUUGUCUAAUGGAGGUAUUUUUGCGGGGAAAGGGUAUAUGUAUGAGAGCAUGUUCAAACUCAAUAUUAUUAAUAAGAAUAAAAAUACUAUUUCUGCUUAUAUGGUUGAAUCUUUUGGUUUGUGGCAUUAUNNNNNNNNNNNNNNNNNNNNNNNNNNNNNNNNNNNNNNNNNNNNNNNNNNNNNNNNNNNNNNNNNNNNNNNNNNNNNNNNNNNNNNNNNNNNNNNNNNNNAAUUAGAUUUAAUUCCUGCUUUUAAUAAUAAUAUUGAAAAAUGCAAUACAUGUAUGUUGACUAAAAUUACAAGAAAUCAUUUCCAUAAGGUUAAAAGGAAAACAAAAUUGCUUGAUUUGAUACAUAGUGAUUUAUGUGACUUGCAUAAUACUCCUACAUUAGGUGGAAAGAAAUAUUUUAUUACUUUAAUUGAUGAUUGUUCUAGAUAUUGUUAUGUAUAUUUAUUGCAUUCAAAAGAUGAAGCGCUUGAUAAAUUUAAAGUUUAUAAAUCUGAAGUUGAACUUCAGUGUGAAUCAUUUAUCAAGUGCUUAAGAUCGGAUAGAGGUGGAGAAUACUAUAAUCCAAGUUUUUUUGAACUCACUGGAAUUGUCCAUCAAGUUUCAGCCUCUUACACACCACAAAAAAAUGGUGUAGCUGAAAGAAAAAUAGAGUCUUGACUGAAAUGGUAAAUUCAAUGUUAUCAUAUUCGGUCUUGGACAAGGUUUUUGGGGAGAAGCUGUUCUAACANNNNNNNNNNNNNNNNNNNNNNNNNNNNNNNNNNNNNNNNNNNNNNNNNNNNNNNNNNNNNNNNNNNNNNNNNNNNNNNNNNNNNNNNNNNNNNNNNNNNAGGAAACUAAAAUAACCCCCUAUGAACAAUGGAAGAAAAGGAAACCAAACCUUAAUUAUUUGAAAGUUUGGGGUUGUAGAGCUAUUGUAAAAGUUCCAACACCUAAACGUAAAAAGUUAGGUGAAAGAGGAAGUGAAUGCAUAUUUAUAGGUUAUGCACAUAAUAGCAAGGCAUAUAGGUUCAUAGUAAUUGAACCAAAUGAUUCAAUUUCAAUUAAUACGGUUAUUGAAUCAAGAGAUGCUAUUUUUGAUGAAAAUAGAUUUAAUUCUAGAUCAAGACAAUUACAACCACAACAAUUGAUUCAUUCUUCAAAUGAGAAUGAGAUUCCAUUGAAACAAAUUGAUAAUAAUGAUGAAUCUUGUCAAGAAUUAAGAAGAAGUAAGAGGAUUAAAAAGGUCAAAGAUUUUGGACCAGAUUUCAUUAUGUUUCUUAUAGAAGGAAAAUGUGAAAGUAUAUGCAAUAAGAUACCUUAUUGUUAUAAUACCGAAUCUGAUUCUAUUACAUUUGAAGAAGCAGUGAAAUCUCAAGACUCUGCUUUUUGGAAAGAAACAAUAAAUGAUGAAAUAGAUUCAAUAAUGGGAAAUCAAACUUGGAUCUUAGUUGAUCUUCCACCAGGUUCCAAACCAAUAGGUUGUAAAUGGAUCUUCAAAAAGAAAAUGAAGGUCGAUGAAACCAUUGAUAAAAAGCAAGGUUGGUAGCAAAAGGUUUUACACAAAGACAAGGUAUUGAUUACUUUGAUACCUAUGCUCCAGUAGCAAGAAUUGCUACAAUUAGACUAUUAAUAUCACUUACCUCUAUAUAUAAUUUGGUUGUUCACCAAAUGGAUGUUAAAACUGCAUUUUUAAAUGGUGAAUUGGAAGAGGAAGUGUACAUGGAGCAACCGGAAGGAUUUGUUGUUCCAGGACAAGAGCAUAAGGUAUGUAAGCUUGUUAAAUCUUUAUAUGGGCUUAAACAAGCACCAAAACAAUGGCACCAAAAGUUUGACAAGGUUGUUUUAGCUAAUGGCUAUAAAAUAAAUGAAUCUGAUAAGUGCAUAUAUAGUAAAUUUGAUAAUGGAAAGGGUGUCAUAAUUUGCUUAUAUGUAGAUGACAUGCUCAUUUUUGGCACGGGAUUUGGGACCAAAUAGAAAACCACAAAGGAAAUUCUUGUCCAAACAACCUUUGCUAUGAAGGGAUUAUGGGUGUUAGCCAGGAUGUUUAUUCCUUGGGGAUUAAAAUAACCCGAGAUGAAAGCACUAUAGCUUUAUCACAAUCACAUUACAUUGAAAAUGUGCUUAAAAAGUUUGAUCUUUUCAACUGUAUACCAGCAUCUACACCCAUGGAUCCUCAAUUAAAAUUAGUAUCUAAUGGUGGUAGGAAAAUUGAUCAAUUGAAAUAUGCAAGUCUAAUUGGUUGUCUUAUGUAUAUAAUGACUUGUACAAGACCAGAUAUUGCAUAUGCUGUUGGAAAAUUGAGUAGGUACACAAGUAAUCCAAGUAGUUUGCAUUGGCAAGCUUUGAAUAAAGUACGUAGGUACUUAAAGAAAACUAUUAACUAUGGAUUGUGUUAUAAUGGAUAUCCUCCAGUUUUAGAAGGGUAUUCGGAUGCUAGUUGGAUUACAAGUUUGGAAGAUCAUGCAUCUACUAGUGGAUGGAUCUUUAUUCUUGGUGGAGGAGUCAUUUCUUGGGGUUCCAAGAAACAAACAUGUAUUACUGAUUCCACCAUGGCAGCAGAAUUUAUUGCAUUAGCCGCUGCAUCUAAAGAAGCAGAAUGGUUAAGAAAUUUGCUUUAUGAUGUACCUUUAUGGCCUAAGCCAAUUUCACCUAUUUCUAUCCGUUGUGAUAGUGAGGCUACUCUAGCAAAGGCAUAUAGCCAAGUAUAUAAUGGAAAGUCUAGACACAUUGGAUUAAGACAUAGUUAUGUCCGACAAUUAAUCUCUGAUGGAGUGAUCACUAUUAAUUAUGUGAGGUCAAGUGAAAAUUUGGCAGAUCCUUUGACAAAAAGUCUUGCUAGAGAUGCAGUAAAAAGNNNNNNNNNNNNNNNNNNNNNNNNNNNNNNNNNNNNNNNNNNNNNNNNNNNNNNNNNNNNNNNNNNNNNNNNNNNNNNNNNNNNNNNNNNNNNNNNNNNNGGACUCAAGCCUAUUAAUUAGAGUCACCCAUGAUGGAAACUCGACUCAACGCUUGGUAUAACGUCAAGUCUUAAGUUUAAUGAGACAAAGUACAUCAUUAGUAUGUGACUGUUAGCACUAUAAAUAAAUUCAUCCUAAGAUUAAAGUGCUAGGUACCCGUAAUGAUAAGGGAAGGAUGAGUAAUAUACUCUUAAUGGACCCAUAACAUAAAUAUGUUAGAGUGUUAUAAUUAUGGGAACACUUUUGAUGGGAUCUACCUAUGUGAGUAGAAGUGUGGCCGCUUCUAGGAGCUUAAGGGCUUGGCUCUGACAGCACUCAUGAAAAGAGGACAUAGACACAUGGCCAUAAUAGUGUCCCUAGAUACUAUGCAUUGACUGAUGUUGAAAUCAUUGUGUGAGAUGUGUUCAGUUAAUCAAAUGGAAUAGUUGGUUCAAAGCUUAGUCUACCAUGCAAUUUCGAUUAACUUUAACAUGUUUUUCACUAAGUGAAGGUUCAAUCGUAAGACACCUUCAUUUAUGCAAAUUGAUUUCCAAGAAUAUCAAAAUCUAAAUAUUUUGAAAAUGGGGGGAGAUUGUUGGAACAUUUUCAAAUAUUUAUAGUAUUCCAAUAACUAUAAAUGAAUGGGUGUAAUUAAUCAAAAGAUAAAACUUUUGGCCAUUGGUCAAAAGUUAUACCAUUUGAUUUUAUAAAAAGAAUUAUAGCUAUUCAAAAAAAUAUUAUUUGAAUAGUUACAAAAUUAAAUAAAUAAAUAUUAUUAUUUAUUUAUUCAUAAAGACACCUAUUGAAAGAUGUCUCUAUGAAGAGACAUGAAAAUUCCUAUAAAUAGGAAUGGGAUUUCAUUUGGAAAGAUAUCAACAAAUUCUAAUUUUAUUUCUUCUCUUCCUUCAUUUUCUAAUAUUAUUAGAUUAUUCUAUAAAGUAUUGCUGCAGAAAUCCUUUGUAGAAAUUGAGUUUUUGUUAUACAUUACUCAGUGCAUAGUGGACUAUUCUCGUCAGUGCAAAACACAAAUAGUCAUUGGCUUCAUUGGAAUUGGAACUCGUUUGCACACUGAAGAUAAGUGGGGGCGAAUAUAACCUUAAAGAUAGUGGCUUGAUACACGCCUUGGAGCCUGUCCUAUUUCUUCUUUUCUUUUCCUUACCGGAGUUUUGUACUAACAGUGCCAAAGCUUUUCUUCAAAAAAUAUUGAAACUUUGAAGCACAUGAUGGUAAAUAAGAGGUUUAUUGAAAAUAAUGAGGCAAUUAGGUUGACUCAUAUUUAAUGUUUAGGAAUAAUAUUUAAGAGUUCAAAAGAUAUUAAGUCUAUCUUACUGUUGCUAAUCAUAUUGGAUCGCCUUGGGUCAUCGUACAUGUGUUUGCUUGACUAUAUGAACCAUGACAAGUGAACUCAUUCUUCAUAUCUAGACUUGGAACCUCUUUAUUAGUGUCGUCACCUCUCCAAAUUGAAGUUAAUAGGGCAUAUAAAAGAAGAUCCACAUCAGAGCCAUCAUGUUUUGAGCCAUCAUGUUUUGGAAUUUCUUCUGUCAAGUAUUGUCAAGUUAACUUUAGAUGACUCUAUGAUGAUCCAUGAUUCAAUGGGUGUGUUGGAAAAGUUACAUUGUUUGAGGAUUCGGAAGUUAGAGAGUUCAACAUAUGAUGAGAGUAAGAUUAUAUGCUUUGCCAAUGGGUUUCCUCAACUUGAUGCUCCUGAAAUUAGAUUUCUACCAGGGUUGAAGGAGUGCGAAAUAGAAGAAGGCGCAAUGGCACGCCUUUAAAGAUUGGAAUUGGUCAAUGUUAAUAGUCAUUGAAAGAAAUAAUUAAAGUGAUAGAUGAAAGAGGAGAGGAUUUCUAUGAAGUAGGCCACAUUCCCUCUAUCCAAAUACAGUAAUUUGCUUAUAUCUAAAUAGGUGCAUUAGAAAUUUAUUUCUCCAAAAUAAUACUCUUCUCUACUUCUUUUUCGUUUUUUCUAAAACGAAACUUGCAAUAUCAUUUCAUAAUUUCUAUUUUAUAUUCUUUUUUAUCAUUAUUAUUAGUAUAGAUAAAAGAUGAUAUACCAAUUUCAUGUUGGUGGUGGUAGGGUUGGAUGCUUUCUUUCAUCUCCAAAUGCAAGCCUGCAAAGAAGCUCAACAUUAAUUGAUUCUUCGUCGAUUUAAGUUGAUGGAUUUUAAGGAAAGAUUUAGAUUUAAAUCUUAGAAAUUUAUUUAUUGUUUAUUGUACUACUCAAUUUUCUCUUAUUUUCUUUCAACAUCCUUUAUACUAUAUUUUCUAAGUGGUCCUUUCAUUUUUGAUAAAAAAAAUUAUUAAUCGGGCAAAAAAACAUUUGGGAUGUGGGUUUCAAUGUUAAUAAGGGUGUAAUAUCCGCAUUGUGAAAUUUAUUUACGAGUAAUUUAGUAUUGUAUAAUAAAUAACACAGUAAAAAUAAUAAAUAAUUGGAGUAAAUAACACCAAAGGUCACUAAAUUACUAUUUUGGUCAAUUAAUAUUAAAAAGUUAUAAUAUAAUUUUUGUCUUAAGUUGGGUUUGGAUGGGCGAUUAGGUGUGGUACGGUGCGUCACGCUAUAAUGUUGCUACAGUAUUUAAUCUCAUCGCCACCGUUAUUUUUACACUAAUAACAAAUAGACGCACCGCUCAUCUAAAUUCACUCUUAUAAGAUCAGUUAUGAGAAAUGACUGUUAUGAGGGUUGGCCUACUAACGUGAGUGAUUAUAAUUUUUCUUCACAUGCCAUUUUACUUUAUCGAUUUUGUGUGGAAUCCAAUGUGGAAAUUGAAAGCAGCUUUUGUUUUCAAUGUGGAAAAUCUAUUGUGCUUUUGGAAUUUUGUGUACACCUUACCUUUUCUUUCUUAAAAAGAUAAUAAAAAAAAAAAAACAAGCGAGUUUUCUUUUAGUCCUUUUUAAAAAUUGCUUUUUAAUUGGAAGAAAUUAUUUUAUAAUUGUUAUGAAUUUUUCAUUAUUAAAUCAACAUCUAUUGAUAGCAAAAUAAAUUUGAUUUACUCUAUAUUUUAUAUAUAAACAUUACUAUUAAUCAAUAAAAAUAUGUUGGUUAUUAUAAAAAAAUAGGGAUAUGUUUGUACUUUUUGAUAGUCAUAGCUCUGUUCAGGAUGUGGUAGAUACAUGUAUUAGUUAGACGAGAAGUUAUUCGUCACCCUCAAUGACUAUGUUCCAUUCGAAUUCUAUGGCUUUUGAUUCAAAAUGAUUAGCUUCAGAAAGUGAUUUAGUUAAACUUAAUACAGAUGGUGCAAUUUCGGUUGUAAUUGAAGGAAUCAUUAAAGAUGCUAAUAGUAAUUAGUUAUGUGGUUAGUUAAUAACAUUAAGAAAAUAUGAAGUGCUUAAAAUUGAAGCAAGAUCAAUGUUAGAAGGACUUUGACCAACUUAGAACAAGGGUUAUCGAUAAUAUAUGUUAUUUUAUUUAAAAAAAGUUACGUUCCAUAAUAAUAAUAAUAAGUUAAUUACCAACCUCACCCCCAAAAACAGCUCUUCAAAAUUUCUGAUAAAGAGAAAUACUUCUCCACUAAUACAUAAAAUAUUCUACUAAUACUUGCAGUUCAGUUUGUGGAAUCUGUUCUGGACCAGCAGGAGAAAUGGAAGAGGCUAUUGUGUCCUUAGCUGUUGAAAGAAUUUCAGAUUUACUCAUCCAUGAAGCUGUUUUCCUCAAAGAUGUGAAAGAUCAAGUUGAGAGUCUAAGGGCUGAACUGAAGCGAAUGCAGUGUUUCUUGAAGGACGCGGAUCGCAAUCUUGAACAAGAUGCGCGUUUCCAGAAUCGGGUGUCGGAAAUCAGAGAUCUUGCUUAUGAUGCUGAAGAUGUCAUCGACUCUUUUAUUCUUAAAGCAGCAUAUCAACGAGAUUCUCAUGGGAUUGUCAAGAGAUUCACCUCCAUUUUCACCAAACCUUAUCAUCUGCACAAAAUCGGGGUGCAGCUCAAAGCAAUCAAGACCGAGCUCCAAAACAUUUCCGAGAAUCUUCCAGCUUUUGAGAUACCCGGUGAUGGAGAAGGCUCUAGCUCAAUUUUCAAGGUGCAGCAACGGUUAAGAAGGGCAUACUCACAUGUCGAGGAAGAGGACGUUGUUAGCUUGGAGGUUAGCACCAAGGAUGUCAUGACCAAAUUGAUGACUGAAGAAGAUAGACCCCACGCCGUAGUUUCCAUAGUCGGCAUGGGGGGCCUCGGUAAGACUACUCUUGCCAGAAAAGUAUAUAAUCAUGUUGAUGUGAGACGCCAUUUUGAUUUCUUGGCUUGGUUUUCUAUCUCUCAACAAUGUAAGCCGAGAGAGGUUUUGCUUAGUGUCUUGAAGAAAGUUCUCUCUCCUUCUAACAAUGAUAGAGAGAAAAUUGAGAAAAUGGACGAGAUUGAGCUAACGAGAACGCUUUUUGAUGCUUUGAAAGAAAAGCGGUAUUUGGUGGUCCUCGAUGAUAUUUGGAGAAGCGAGGACUGGGAUAUUCUUAAACCUGCUUUUCCACGAGGAAGAAAGGGAAGCAAAAUAUUGUUCACAACACGCAACAGGAAUGUGGCUUCACGAGCCGAUUCUUGCAACACUCCCAUCGAGCUCUCAUUUCUUACGGAUGAUGAAAGUUGGAAUCUUUUGUGUAAGAAAGCAUUCCCACGGAGCAAAAUGGGUUCUCAAUGCUGCUCAGAAGAAUUUGUGAAGCUUGGAAAAGACAUGGUGAAAAAAUGUGGAGGCUUGCCUUUAGCAAUUGUUGUGUUGGGUUGCUUGCUGGCAACAAAACAGUCCGUGGCUCAAUGGGAGAUGGUUCAUAAAAACAUCCAUGGACACUUAAAUGAGCUCCAACACCAAGAUCGUCAAUAUGGUGCAGUGAACCGAAUUUUGGUUUCAAGCUACAAUGACUUGCCUUAUCCUUUAAAACCAUGCUUUUUGUAUCUUAGUCAUUAUCCAGAAGAUUGGGAGAUACCGAAAAAAGAACUCAUUCGUUUAUGGAUCGCUGAAGGUUUCAUUCCGGAAAACGAAGAAUUCUUGAUGGAGGAUUUAGGCGAAAAAUUCCUAGAAGAGCUUAUAGAUAGGAGCUUGGUUCAAGUUAGCACGCGAGACUAUACAGGAACAAAUGUGGAGACAUGUCGAGUGCAUGAUCUCUUGAGGGACUUUUGCAUGAAGAAAGCAAGAGAGGAGAAGUUCUUGGAAAUUAUUCAACAACCACUGCAUGAACUUGAAGUGACAUUGGCAGAAUCUAUGCUACGAAGAAUUUCUACUCAUCCUAGUGAAUCGAAAGUUUAUUUGAAGGGAAAGCAUCCAAAAUUACGCUCUUUGUUGUUUUCUCAUUCUGAGAAAUUGGUAGAAUUGUGCAUUUCAAAAUACAAAAGCUUCAAAUUUUUAAGGGUGUUGACUCUUGCAAAAAGGAGCGACUGCAAUCAACCGUGGCAUGUGUCGACUGAAAUUGGUAAUCUCCAACAUUUGAGAUACUUGAAGUUUUACUACAAUAACAAAGUGAUUUUGCCGCGAUCUAUUGGCAGGUUGAAGAAUCUGUACACUUUAUACAUCAAGUUUUGUGAUGACAUUGUAAUUCCAGAUGGUGUGUUUAAGUUAGAACGUUUAAGGCAUAUUGUAAUAAAAUCGGUUGGGAAAUUCCACGUAGAUGGAUUUCGUUGGCGGCAAGGGUUCACUUCAAAAAAUAUUGAAACUUUGAAGUUCAUAGUGGUGGAUGAGAAGGCGGCUGAAAAUAAUGCGGUGCUUAGGUGGACUAAUAUUCAGAGUUUAGGAAUAGAAUUUACCAGAGCAGAAUAUGUGAAGCCUACCCUAAUCUUGCUAGCCAAAUUGCAACGCCUUAGGUCAGUGUCCUUGUGUUUUUUUUAUUGCUCACACCUAGACUUAGAACCCCUUUCUCAAUAUUAUCACCUCUCCAAACUGAAAUUACUGGGUCCGAUAAAAGAUGAGCCACAUCCGAACGGUCAUGUUUUGAAAUUUCUUCCAUUAAAUAUUGUCAAAUUAACUUUGUUUGACUGUGGGCUGAGACAAGAUCCAAUGGCGGUAUUAGAAAAGCUAUGUCAUUUGAGGAUUCUCUUUUUGAAGGGAGCAUAUAUUGGGAGUAAAAUGGUGUGCUCUACAAAUGGAUUUCCUAAACUUGAUUAUCUUUUAAUUAUGUUAAUUAUGUUGGAGGAGUGGGAAAUAGAAGAAGGUGCAAUGCCAUGCCUUCGAGAAUUGACGUUGGCCAAUGUUGAGAGUUUAAGGAUGCUUCCAGAAGGAUUGAGAUACAUGACUACUCUCCAAAAAUUGAAUUUAAUAGGAAUAUCUUCGUUAUUGAAAGAAAGGAUUAAAGUGAUAGAUGGAAGAGAAGGAGAGGAAUUCUAUAAAGUGCGCCACAUUCCCUUCAUCCGACAUUUUUUGAUGCCAAAAUAAUAGGAGCCAACAUCACGUGAGGUAUUUAUUUCUAUAAAAUAAUAAUUUUUACAUUCUUUUUUCUUUUCUUUUUCACCCAUAGAGUUAGAGAUUAAUAUUAUAUUGAUAAAAUAAUACAAUAGAUGAAUAUAUCUUUAAUUACCAUAAAAAUUGUAAUUAAAAUAUAAAAAAAUAAGAAUUUCGAAUCAUUUUCUAGAAAAACUAAAAUUUUAAUAUCAUUUUAUUAUUUCAUAUUUUUAAUUAUUAUACAUAAGAGAUGAUGAUAUGUACAUACCAUUUUUCUUCUUGAUGCAGGUUAUCUAAUCAGCACUGGAAUGCACUUUCCCGAGAUAUCUAAUUUCAUUAAGUGUGUAUAUGUAUUUUUUGUAAGAAUUGGAUUGCUAUAUACCAUGAGCUUUGAAUGAAGUGAUUGUUUGCUAUAUAUCUAAGGCUCGUUUCCGGCCUCCCAAUUUGCUUAUUUUUAAAAAAAAUUAUCUUCUUAUUAAUUGGUUCUUCAUUUGCAUCUAUUUAAUUGAAAUUAAUCAAUUUAAACCGAAGAAAGAAAUUCUAAAUAACUCAUUAGAUGUUAAAUGGUUAAAUUCAUUAUUUAAAUAGUAAAAUAACCCAUUUAAAUUUACAACUCACUAUUUCAAUUAAAAAUUAGAUGAUACAAUGUUAAUCAAAACAUAUAACAUGUAUAUUUAUAUGACAUAACAAAAAUAUGUGUGUUUUCUUAUAACAAAAUAUAUAAAACAGAUUUAUAUUAACCUUGAGUUAUGUGGAAUGAUGAUUAAAUUUUUGUAACAGAUUUAUACUAAUCCCCACCCGAAUAUUUUAUAAAAAGAGUCGACAUUAAUCAUUUUAAAAUUUUUAACUGUUUAAUCAAUUAUAUUAAUAAUUCCAUAAAGUUUUUUUUAAUCAAAACUUUUUACUCAUUUACUAUAUACUAAGAACAAACCGAUAAUUAAAUAUCUUUGAGUCUAGAAUUAUUUCAACUUUUACCUUGAACCAAACGCGGUACUUUAACAUAUCUAGUAAUGCACUAAUUGUCAGGUUAAUCAAAUAUUUUGUGAACUAAACUCCCUUUUAAUCUAAAUUCACAAAAGUUAGUGUGCUUAAGAAAGUUGAGUUUCACAUAAUUUAUUCUUCCUAUAAACAAUAACAACAAAGUAGCGACUGAUCUUGAAGACUUGUUUUUAUAAGGUUACACAAAUCAAAAUGUAGUAAAUUCAGGGAACUCUAUGUACUAAGAUAACUGUGUUAUAUGCUUCAUUUUCGACCAACCAAGAAGCAUUAUAUAUACAUGUUUCUGAAACGUAAAAAUCUUAGCCUCACAUUUGUAAGCAGUUUUACUCUGAUAUAUAUGAGACAAGCCUACUGAUGAAACAGAAGUUACGGCAAAUCUUUUUUUUUUUAAUUUUUGUUAUUUUUUGUUCCAUCCCCAAUCCUUGAAUAUUUCGAUUAUAUGUUAUUUUUUUUAAAAAUAUUUCGAGUAAUUUAGUAUUGUAUAAUAAAUAACACAGUAAAAAUAAUAAAUAAUUGGAGUAAAUAACACCAAAGGUCACUAAAUUACUAUUUUGGUCAAUUAAUUUUAAAAAGUUAUAAUAUAAUCACUAAACUAUUCGAAAGUUUUCAUUUAAGUUAUAUAGCAUUUAUUGUUCACAUUGCCUGCAACCCCCUUACUCUUCUACAAUUUAGGGUUUUUUUAAUAAAACAACUUUAAAUAUCACGUAUCUACGAACUAAAAUCUAAACAGUUCUUCGAUACCGACCAUAUAUGUUCUUUUACUCGUUGAUGAGUAUUGAUCCAUUGUACUGUUCAUCGAAUUGUCGCUUGAACCUAGCUAGUCAAACUGCUUUAAAAAAAAAAAGAACUUAAUAGUUCAAUGACUUAAACAAAAAUUUUUGAAUAAUUUAAUAACUUAAAUAAAAACUAUUGAAUAGUUUAAUAACUAUCUUGUAAUUUUUUAAAGUUAAAUAAUUAAAAUAUAAAUUUAUUAAUAGUUUAGAGAAGUUGAGUAUAAUUUAUCCAAAUAAUUAUUUUUUUUCUUUUGGUCUUAUCCUAUCGAUUAUGAGCAACGGCUGUUGGGUGUUCAAAGUGGUCCUUUAAUUUUUGAUAGAAAAAUUUUAUUAAUCGGGCAAAAAAACAUUUUGGGUUUCAACGUUAAUAAGAGUGUAAUAUCCGCAUUGUGAAUUUUAUUUAUGAUUAAUUUAAGUAUUGUAUAAAAAAUAACACAGUAAAAAUAAUAAAUAAUUGGAGUAGUUAAAUAACACCAAAGGUCACUAAAUUACUAUUUCGGUCAAUUAAUUUCAUAAAGUUACAAUAUAGUCACUAAAUUAUUCGAAAGUUUUCAUUUAAGUAACUGGACUAUGAAAAUCUUUGUUAUAUGGUAUUUAUUGUUCACAUCGUCUGCACCAAUAAUAAACUCUUUGCCCUUACUCUUCUACAAUUUAGGGUUUUUUUAAUAAAAUAACUUUAAAUAUCAUGUAUCUACGAACUAAAAUCUAAACAGUUCUUCGAUACCGACCAUCAAAUUGACUUAGUUCAAUAACUAUCUUGUAACUUUUUGAAGUUAAAUAAUUAAAAUAUAAAUUUAUUAAUAGUUGAGUAUAAUUUAUCCAAAUAAUUAUCUUUAUUUUCUUUUGGUCUUAUCCAAUCAAUUAUGAAUUGCAAACAAGUUUUAUUCCCAAUGUGUGGAAAAUGUGUUGGUGAUUUUGGAAUUUUGUGUCCACCUAAAGCUUUUUCUACAAGCAAGUUUGUUUUUAUUUUAAAAAAUUGCUUCUUGAUUUGGAGUUUUGUUUUAGUCGAACGGCACACUGCUUUUGAAUAAUUAAAUUUAUUAUGGCUUUUCCGAGUGAGGCUAAAACCUGUCUUGUUUGAUUGAAUAGUUUGAUAAUUGGUGCUUGAUUGAUUAGGUAAUUGAUCUAUUAAGGCUUUUUUAUAAAAAAAUAAUUCAAAAAAUUUGAUUACUUAUUUUUAUUAAAUACAUAAAUGACAUAAAAUAACCACAUUUCAAAAAUGGAUGACGCAGGUAGUUUUAGAAAUUGGUAGCGUCAAAUUAUUUAGCUUUACCAGAAAAAAAGUUUUUUUAAGGUCCCCCAAUUUUUCAAAAAUAGUAAUAUUUUUUUAAUAUUUAUACAGGUAACGUCAUUCUACAUGGUUCUACCAAAAAAAUAAAUUUUUAUCUCGAUUGCUGACGUGGUAUGUUAGUGACGUCAAACUCUUUGACUCCACCAACUUUUACUGUAAGUUUUAGAUCAUUUACAUGUUUAAUAAAAAAUGGAUUAUUUUCAUAAAUAAUCAAAAAUUUUGAAUUAUUUUUAUAAAAAAAGCCUCUAUUUAUGAGUUCAAUUAUUUAUUUAAGCUCAAAUGUCCAUCUUAUAUAUAAAAAAAAACAAAACCGAAUAAAACGAUUUCUUUUUUCAACAAGAAUUUCCAUCAAGGAUACUAAAAGUAUAGAUCAUUUCAAGGUGGAACGAUGGUGGUGGAUGAAAGAGUGGAUUGCUAAAGGAGAAAGUGAUGGGGUUUUUGUUUUCUUCUAAAAAUUAGGAUGUAGUUGAUUUUUAGGGUUUGAUUCUUUUAGAUUGUCUCUUUGUUUCUUUUUAGGUCGGAUGAUUAAAGUCCCGUAGGAAUUGAGUAUGAUACAACUUUUGCAUUAAUUAAGAACUACUCCAUCGAUUAAUGGAUGUAGGAGAGUAGGAUGCGUGGUACUUAAGCUUCAACUUUCUCAAAUCUAACCCAACUAGAGGUGAUUAUGGGUCGGGCCGGGCCCAACCCAUAUUAAAUUUUACAACACCAAAAUAGCAUCAAAAACCUGCAAAAUAUAAUCAACAAACUAGAAUUAGAGGUAUACUUAAUUAAAAAUAAAAAAUAUAUAUUUAAUAUAUAAUUCGAGCCCAGGCCAAAAUAGUUUUACCUGAGGCCCGACUCGUUUUCUAAACGGGCCUCUUUUUUUUGCCCAAACUCAUAUUUCGGGCCUAUAUUUUUACCCGAACCCUCAUAUUUUUCAGGCAGACCUUCGGGCCGGGCUGGGUAGCCCAACCCAUGAUCACCUCUAAACCCAACCCUGUAAUAGCCCGAUUUUGGGUCUAGUCGGAACAUUGGUUUUUGGACCACAAAUUCGACGAGGAAAAAAACUGUAAUGGCCUGAAUUUUUAGAGGUGUCGGAACGAUUAUUCGAGAUCACUAAAUUCGAAAAAUGAGUAGAAAAUAUUAUUAAUUUAGUGAGUAUAAGUUAAAUGUGAAGUUAGGAAAUUUUUUGAAAUAGUGAAUAGUGAAGAGUGGUCGGAACUGUCAGACAGCGAAACAAGGGAAACUUUAAAGAAUAAACUGUACUAUUUGGCUAAACCAAAAAUUUCGAAAAUUUUAUGGCAAGAAGAUAUGUGAGUCUAGUUUUAGGGAAAAUUAACAGAUCUUAAUUUGGAGCUCUGUAGCUCCGGAUAAAAAUAAUUUAGUGACUCUGACUCGAAUAAACAGCUUUGAAUAUACAUGUGAGUGAAUAGUGAAAUUAUAGUUAAUGUUGUUUAAGUGUGUUAUACACAUUAACGAUGUGGAAUGAAGAGGAGGAGGAGAAUAAUUGGGAAAUAUAUGAAUGAUUUGUGUAUAAUUGGUCAUAUGCUUGAUUAUAAUUGAUAAACGAUAAAAUAGAAACAUGAUGCGGUCGUUGAAAGCACCAAAAAUAUCCUAUCCCUAAUAAAUAAUGAAAAAUAAUAGUAAAAGGGAAGUAGGGUCAAAUCCUCAGGGACUGGAUUUGCACAAUAUCUUGUUCUGUGGAAUCCCAUGCAGAGUCUUGCCCAAGACAACCUGCGUUCCUGAAAAAAAAUAAAAACAAAAAAAUAACAGAAUUAAAUGUUUGGAUUUGAAAAUGAAAAAUAAAAUAAAAAAAAUUUUAAGAAUAUUGAAUCGAAAAUUAGAGAAAUUAAAAAUAGAGUUGAGAGAAAGGAAAUUCUUAUGGGAGAUUCCAGCCUCCAGUUGUCUCGUUCCGCCUUGGGUUCAAUCCUAAGCUUUUAGAUGAUCCUUCCCAAACCGAAUAAACCAGUUAUAGUGGAAGAGGACGCCUACGACCACCAGCUCCAAUGAUUUAGACUUAUGAUGUGGUAGAACCUGACUUUAGCCAACAAUCGCUUCUAUGGGAUCGUCUUAUGCUAGAUCAAUGCUUCUCAAUGGUGAAUCCCAGGCCAUUUUGUCUCUUGGGCUCACCAACCUCUGACGCAGUAAGCUAACGAACCGACUGUGCAACCUUCCCAAAACAUACAAAGCGGCCGCCUUUGCAUACAUUGAAAAGCUUACUUCUUAAGAGACAUGGACAGAAGCGUCAGCCCCGUAGUGCGAAGAAACGAUGAAUACUCGUUGAAAAGGCUAAGUACGGAUUCUAAGCCUCAAAAACCUUUUUGGGGAUUUUCGACAACCUUAGGCUAGAUGGGUUUAGUGGCUCAUGGUUGGGGUAGAAAAGAAAAUAAAUAAAAUAAAAUAAAAAUAGAAAUUUUAUUGAAAGGAAAUAUGAGAAGAACAAAAGCCCAGACUUUUGGGGAGAGAGUGUUUACAGAAAAAGAUGGGAUCCCCUUUUGAGUUACUUCACCCCCUAUUUAUAGUGUUAGGGGAGAUAGUCUAAUCCUACUUAAAUUCCUAAAAGAUAAAUACAUUUAAUUGAAGAUAAAUAAAGAUAAAAUAAAAUCCUAAAAAUAAUCCUUAAUAAUUAUCUCAAUAUUAAUUAUCCUAAUAUAAUUAAAAUAGAGUUUAAUAGAAUAAAAUCUCUUCUUUUUGCAUUUCAACCCUUGUGUCCUCCAUGCUUGCACUUUUGGCACCAACUUUUCAUUGCAUUGCACAUUGGCCCAUUUUAUCUCUAAAUUCACGCUUUUGGCCCUUAAUUUUGUUUUUGCCUCAAAUUUAGUCCGUAUGAGAUAAAAGAUCAUAAAUAGCUCAAAUUAGCAGGAUCAUACUCAGAAUAAAUACAUAAUUAAUACAUAAAAAUAUGUUAUUCUAGAGUGUUAUCAAAAUGAUGCUUAUAUUUGUGCAUUAUUGGACACGGUUUAAGCUCAUGUGUGAAAAUAAAGUUUCAUAGUAUGUGUGAAAGUAUAUUUGGUAUAUGAUUUGGCAUGAAGUAAUGUCAUGAAUGAUUUAUGAAUUAACACAUGUUGGUAAGUGUGGUACAUUAAUAAAUGUUGUGCUCAUCCAUGCUUAUAAUGCUUAUGCUAUAUGUGUAUUUGGAUAACAUAUUUGGUAUACAUGCUUAGGCUUUGGCCAAGUAGUGGUUGAAUUAUGCCACGUUAAAUUUAUAAGUUAUGCAUUGAAAUGAUAAGUGCCUAAUUGGAAAUAUGCUUGUGAUCAUGAAAAGGAUGGUAAGGUUUAAAUUAUGUAAUCUCUAGUGAAAUGGUUUAUCAUGCAGUUAGUUCCAAAAGGAGUUAUGUUUAAAUACACUAGCUUGCGACUUUGGUUGAAUGACAUGUUUAUAUCUUGUGUGAUGUGCAUAGGAAACGAGUGUGGAAAGGUAAUAAAAUAGUAAGUUCAUAUGGCGGAAAUUUAAUGAUUAAAUGUUAAUUUCGUGAAUUAUAUUUGAUAUGUGGAUUAAUAUUGAAUGUGGAAGGAAAAUUGUUCUUGAAUUAUUCGAGUGAUAAAGUGUUUAAAAUAAAGUGUUUAAGUGUUAAGUGUAAAUUCCCAGUUGAAUAUAGGAAUAGAAGUGGAUACAAGUGACAUGUGACUAGAUACCAGUGUUGCAGUGUUACAGUGAAUCCCGGGUGCUGGGUGAUCUAGCAUGUGUUGCAGACACCUGAUAGCUUGUGUGAGCAGGCCCGUGGACUUUUCCAGUGUUAUUGAUCAGUGGUAGCUACGGCUACAUAUCAGUGGUAGCUUCGGCUAUAUUUCAAUGGUAGCUACGGCUAUAUAUCAGUGGUAGCUACGGAUACAUAUCAGUGGUAGCUUCGGCUACAUUUCAGUGAUAGCUACGACUACAUAUUAGUGGUAGCUUCAACUACAUUUCAGUGGUAGCAACUGCUACGUAUCAGUGGUAGCUUCAGCUACAUAUCAGUGUGGCACUUAUGUGCUAAUUCUUUACGUAUCCGUGUAUAUUUCGAGUGUUCAACGGGAUUAAUAAUGAGUUAAAUGGUAAAUGCAUAUUAGUAUUGAACUUAAUGAUAUUGAAUUGUACGUGAAUUAAACGGAAAUUGUUAGUGAUAUGAUUUGAAUUGUGAGCAUGAGAAAUUGUGAUUUGAAUGAAACGGGAAUGAUGCAUUGAAUUGUUUAAGUAUGUACUGGGUCUCGUAGGCCCUAUUUAUUAUGAAUAUAAUAUUUUGGGAUAUGAUCUGAAGAAUUAUAAAAGCAUGUUAAUAAAUUUGAAAAUUUUAAUUUAGAUGGAAUUUUAUAACUCGGUUAAAUACGUUUACAAGUGUAUGUGUUCUGGUAAUGCCUCGUACCCUACUUCGGUGUUGGAUACGGGUAAGGGGUGUUACAAACUCACUUUAGACUUUUGUAUAAAUUUUAUUUAAACAUAAAAAAUAUUGUAUAAAUUUCAAUUUUAAUAAAAAAUAUUAUUAGAAAUAUUAAAUAUUAAAUUAAGAAUAAUAUAUAUUGCUUUUUAGUUGGAAGAAACUAUUUUAUAAUUGUUAUGAAUUUUUCAUUAUUAAAUCAACAUCUAUUGAUAUCAAAAUAAAUUUGAUUUACUCUAUAUUUUAUUUAUAAACAUUACUAUUAAUCAAUAAAACUAUGUUGGUUAUUAUAGAAAAAUAAGAAUAUGUUUGUGCUUUCCAAUAGUUAUAGCUCUGUUCAGGAUGUGGUAGAUACAAGUAUCAGUUGGACGAGAAGUUAUUCGCCACCCUCAAUGGCUAUGUUCCAUUCGAAUUCUAUGGCUUUUGAUUCAAAAUGGUUAGCUCCGAAAAGUGGUUGGGUUAAGCUUAAUACAGAUUGUACAAUUUUGUCUAGAGCUCACACGGUUGUAAUUGGAAGAGUCAUUAAAAAUGCUAAUAGUAAUUAGUUAUGUGAUUAGUCGAUGACAUUAGGAAAUAUGAAGUGUUUAAAAUUUAAGCAAGAUCGAUAUUAGAAGGGCUUUGACUAACUUAGGACAAUAAUAAUAAUAAUAAUAAUAAGUUCAGCUAUUUGCUGUCCAAAGAACAGUAAUUACCAACCUCACCCCCAAAAACAGCUCUUCAAAACUUCUGACAAAGACAAAUACUUCUCCACUAAUACAUAAAAUAUUCUACUAAUACUUGCAGUUCAGUUUGUGGAAUCUUUUCUGGACCAGCAGGAGAAAUGGAAGAGGCUAUUGUGUCCUUAGCUGUUGAAAGAAUUUCAGAUUUACUCAUCCAUGAAGCUGUUUUCCUCAAAGAUGUGAAAGAUCAAGUUGAGAGCCUAAACGCUGAACUGAAGCGAAUGCAGUGUUUCUUGAAGGACGCGGAUCGCAAUCUUGAACAAGAUGCGCGUUUCCAGAAUCGGGUGUCGGAAAUCAGAAAUCUUGCUUAUGAUGCUGAAGAUGUCAUCGACUCUUUUAUUCUUAAAGCAGCAUAUCAACGAGGUUUUCAUGGGAUUGUCAAGAGAUUCACCUCCAUUUUCACCAAACCUUAUCAUCUGCACAAAAUCGGGGUGCAGGUCAAAGCAAUCAAGACCAAGCUCCAAAACAUUUCCGAGAAUCUUCCAGCUUUUGAAAUACCCGAUGAUGGAGAAGGCUCUAGCUCAAUUUUCAAGGUGCAGCAACAGUUUAGAAGGACAUACUCACAUGUCGAGGAAGAGGACGUUGUUAGCUUGGAAGUUAGCACGAAGGAUGUCAUGACCAUGUUGAUGUUUGAAGAAGAUAGACCCCACGCCGUGGUUUCCAUAGUCGGCAUGGGGGGCCUCGGUAAGACUACUCUUGCCAGAAAAGUAUAUAAUCAUGUUGAUGUGAGACGCCAUUUUGAUUUCUUGGCUUGGUUUUCUAUCUCUCAACAAUGUAAGCCGAGAGAAGUUUUGCUUAGUGUCUUGAUGAAAGUUCUCUCUCCUUCUAACGAUGAAAGAGAGAAAAUUGAGAAAAUGGACGAGAUUGAGCUGAGGAGAACGCUUUUUGAUGCUUUGAAAGAAAAGCGGUAUUUGGUGGUCCUCGAUGAUAUUUGGAGAAGCGAGGACUGGGAUAUUCUUAAACCUGCUUUUCCACGAGGAAGAAAGGGAAGCAAAAUAUUGUUCACAACACGAAUAAAAAAUGUGGCUUCACGUGCCGAUCCAUGGAGCACUCCCGUGGAGCUCUCACUUCUUACAGAUGAUGAAAGUUGGAAUCUUUUGUGUAGAAAAGCAUUCCCACGGAGCAAAAUGGGUUCUCAAUGCUGCUCAGAAGAAUUUGUGAAGCUUGGAAAAGAGAUGGUGAAAAAAUGUGGAGGCUUGCCUUUAGCAAUUGUUGUGUUGGGUUGCUUGCUGGCAACAAAACAGUCAGUGGCUCAAUGGGAGAUGGUUCAUAAAAACAUCCAUGGACACUUAAAUGAGCUCCCACACCAAGAUCGCCAAUAUGGUGCAGUGAACAGAAUUUUGGUUUUAAGCUACAAUGACUUGCCUUAUCCUUUAAAACCAUGCUUUUUGUAUCUUAGUCAUUAUCCAGAAGAUUGGGAGAUACCGAAAAAAGAACUCAUUCGUUUAUGGAUCGCUGAAGGUUUCAUUCCGGAAAACGAAGAAUUCUUGAUGGAGGAUUUAGGCCAAAAAUUCCUAGAAGAGCUUAUAGAUAGGAGCUUGGUUCAAGUUAGCAGGCAAGACUCUACAGGAACAAAUGUGGAGACAUGUCGAGUGCAUGAUCUCUUGAGGGACUUGUGCACGAAGAAAGCAAGAGAGGAGAAGUUCUUGGAAAUUAUUCAACAACCACUGCAUGAACUUGAAGUGACAUUGGCAGAAUCUAUGCUACGAAGAAUUUCUAUUCAUCCUAGUAAAUCGAAAGUUUAUUUGAAGGGAGAGCAUCCAAAAUUACGCUCUUUGUUGUUUUCUCAGAAUGAGGAAUUCGUAGAAUUAUGCAUUUCAAAAUACAAAAGCUUCAAAUUUUUAAGGGUGUUGACUCUUGCAAAAAGGGGCAACUACAAUAAGUGGUGGCAUGUGUCGACUGAAAUUGGUAAUCUCCAACAUUUGAGAUACUUGAAGUUACACUGCAAAAGCAAAAUUAUUUUGCCGCGGUCUAUUGGCAGGUUGAAGAAUCUGUACAGUUUAUACAUCAAGUGUUUUUGUGACAUUGUAAUUCCUGAUGGUGUGUUUAAGUUAGAACGUUUAAGGCAUAUUGUAAUAAAAUUGGGUGUACAUGGAUUUCGUUGGCGGCAAGGGUUCACUUCAAAAAAUAUUGAAACUUUGAAGUUCAUAGUGGUGGAUAAGAAGGCGGCUGAAAAUAAUGCGGUGCUUAGGUGGACUAAUAUUCAGAGUUUAGGAAUAGCAUUUACCAGAGCAGAAUAUGUGAAGCCUACCCUAAUCUUGCUAGCCAAAUUGCAACGCCUUAGGUCAGUGUCCUUAAGUUUUUUUGAUGGCUCACACCUAGACUUGGAACCCCUUUCUCAAUAUGAUCACCUCUCCAAACUGAAAUUACUGGGUCGGAUAGAAGAUGAGCCACAUCCGAACGGUCAGGUUUUGAAAUUUCUUCCAGCAAAUAUUGUCAAAUUAACUUUGGUUGACUGUGAGCUGAGCCAAGAUCCAAUGGCGGUAUUAGAAAAGCUAUGCCAUUUGAGGAUUCUCUAUUUGCAGGAAGCAUAUAUUGGGAGUGAAAUGGUGUGCUCUGCAAAUGGAUUUCCUAAACUUGAUUAUCUUCAAAUGUCUUGCUUACAUGAGUUGGAGGAAUGGGAAAUAGAAGAAGGUGCAAUGCCAUGCCUUCGAGAAUUGAAGUUGGUAUAUGUUGAGAGUUUAAGGAUGCUUCCAGAAGGCUUGAGGUACAUUACUACUCUCCAAGAAUUGAAUUUAAGAGGACUGCCUUCGUCAUUGGAAGAAAGGAUUGAAGUGAUAGAUGGAAGAGAAGGAGAGGAAUUCUAUAAAGUGCGCCACAUUCCCUCCAUCCACAUUAUUAAUUCGAUCCCAAAAUAAUAGGAGCCAACAUCACGUGAGGUAUUUAUUUCUAUAAAAUAAUAAUUUUUACAUUCUUUUUCUUUUCUUUUUCACCCAUAGAGUUAGAGAUUGAUAUAAUAUUGAUAAAAUAACAGAAUAGAAGAAUAUAUCUUUAAUUACCAAAAAAAUUAUAAUUAAAAUAUAAAAAAUAAUAAUUUUGAAUAUUUUUCUAGAAAAACUAAAUUUUUAAUAUCAUUUUAUUAUUUCAUAUUUUUAAUACAUAAGAGAUGAUAAUAUAUCCAUACCAUUUUUUUUCUUGAUGUAAGUUUACCUGGAAUACACUUUGCCGAGAUAUCUAAUUUCAUUAAGUGUGUGUAUGUAUUUUUUAUAAGAAUUAGAUUACUAUAUAGUAUGAGCUUUGAAUGAAGUGAUUGUUUGCUAUAUAUCUAAGGCUCGUUUCUCGCAGCUAAUAAUUCCUUCAAUUUUGUAUUUUGCACUGAAAGCUUGAUCACCUUACCAACUAAAUUUUUAAACUCAAUAACAUCUACAGAUGUCAAUUCUUUAGCAUAUGAAGCUUCUUCAGUCGGCUUUUGAUUUUGGAAACAUAACCUACUAUUCUCUUCUAAAAGUUACACAUUACUCUUGAUCUCCUGAGAUAAGUUCUUUUUUCGUGUCUCAUCAGCAUGUUCUUCAGAUAUUUCAUGUGCAAAAGAUGAUAGUUUAUCAGAGAGAGAUGUCAACUGCUGCUCCAAGAGAGUUACUGUUACAGGCCCAUUUUAACCCUUAGCCCAUUUAAAUUUUAAACCAAAACAAAAAAGGCCGGCCCAAUCUUCCAGCCCAAUCAGACUAGGGUUUCAGAAACUGAAACCCUAGUGCCCCACCCACUUGCGCCGUUGCCCCACUAGCACCAUCGCCGCAGCCUUUUGUCGCCCACAUGCAUGCUGCCACCGCCCUUUACAGCUCGCCUCUGCCAGCCACCGCAUCUCCACUUGCACCAAUGAGUACCUGCAAGCAAAAAGAAAAGGGAAAAGGAUAGCACAAGUGGUGUAUAAAAGCCGAACUCGGCUAUCAUUUUCGAGGGGGUUUUUUUUUACUGUAAUCGGAGGGGAAGGCUUUUUUUUUCUUUCUAACAUUUUCAUAGAUAAAGCAAAAAAAAAAAAAAAAAGAUUCAAGAAAGAAAAAAAUAAAGAAACAGAUCUAAAAAAAAAUCAAACACUCAAGGUGACUUUUUUUUUACGCAUUAGCCUUUUUAUUUCUUUCUUUAUCUGUGCAAAAGCAUAAAAAAUACAAAAAAAUUAAAUUUUUUACCGUUUUGAAUACACGGUGGCCGGAGCGACGCCGGUUUUGCCUUAAGGACUCCUACCCGCGCGUCGACCCGACCCGCAACCCAGGGUCCGCGUGUUUUUGUACGGGUGGGUUAUUUACAAUCGUGGCCCUUCCACAUUUAUGCUCUUUUUAAUUUGCUCCCUUUUCUCUUAUUUUCAUUUUCUUUUAAUUCUGCCCUGUAAUUUUGUUUGGAUUCCAAUCGGGUCCCUAACCCACUAACGCACUGAAAGGGACACAUGUCCCAAUAAUUGGAAUAUUUUCCAUUUUAGCCCUUUUCCUUUCAGCGCGCGUCGCGUUUUGGUCCUUUUUUAUUUUCAAAUUCGUCCAGUAUUUUUAUUUUAUUUCGAUUUAGUCCUUUUUUAGUAGUUUUAUUAUGUUGCUCAUUAUUAUUAUUAUUAUUAUUAUUAUUAUUAUUAUUAUUAUUACUAUUAUUAUUAUUGUCCUUGCUAUUAUUAUUGGUAUUAUUACUAAUAUAUUUAUUACUAUCAUUAUAUUUAUACUCAUAUUUACUUAUAUAAAUAUUAGAUAUAUGUGACAUAUUAUAUUAUUAUUAUAUAAUUGCUUACAUAUAUAUAUAUAUAUUAAUACAUACAUAAAUACUCAUUUUGUAUAUAUAUAUAUAUUUAUAUAUGUAUAUUUAUAUUUUUCUCACGAAUAUGUAUAUUCUUACUUACAUAUAUAUUUUAUAUAAUAAUUUUAAAAUAUGUACAUAUGUUUUUAUAAUUUCAAAGCACAUAUAUAUACACACGUGAAUACAUUUACAUAAUAUAUUUAUAUGCACAUAGUUCCUCUUUUUUAUAAAAAGUAUACAUAUAUAUAUACAUACUGUUAUAUACACAUGUUUUAUAUAUUUUAAUAAUUUUAUGGAUAUACUCAUAUAUAUAUCUUUUUAUAUUUUUAUAGUUUUAUAUUUUUUUGUUUUUUUAUUUACAUUUUCAUUAUUUGGAAUAAAUGUUUUAAUUUUAUUGCUUAUGCUUGCGAUUGUGUGUUAUAUUAAUUUGUCUUUAUAUUUAUUUUACUUCGUAACCUUUGCCUGUAUUAUUUUGCUUACAUCAUCAUCAUUCCAUUACACCCAUUUUAUUUAGAUUAAAAAAUGGAAUUUUAAAAAUAUGAGUAAUAUUCGGCAUUUUAGAUCUCCGAGAGAAUCAAGCCCUAACGUGUUGGGUUCUGAUUUUCUUCGUUGAAUUUUAAAAAAAAUCGAGAUUACUCUUUUAAAAAAAAUGAUAAAAAGCUUGUUAUCAAGAAUUCAAUACGUUGUGUCCUAACGCAUUGGAUGUGACCCGUUGUUUUCUCGAGACAAGGAUUUUUCGAAAUAAGGGUAAUAUUCAAAUGUUUAAUAUUUUGAGAAAUUGUGCCCUAACGUAUUGGGUUGCGAUUUCUUCAUUUGAUUUAAACAAUUGAAUAUUCUUUUAAACUUUAUUACACGAAUCUUUUCAAACUCAAGUUUUAAACGAUAUCGAGAAUUUAAAAAGGAUCGUGUCCUAAUUUACUGGAUAUGAUUCUCUUUCUCGGAUAACGUGAAAUAUGCCCAUUUUUCCUGAAAUUUUUUUAUCGUUUUAAUGCAAUGAUCGUAUUUUUAAAAUUCUUCAAGGUUCCUAAUUUUCGACAUUAAGACAUUAAGCAAUCAACUAGGUACCAAUUUUGGGCGUAUCGAGGGUGCUAAUCCUUCCUCGUGCGUAACUGACUCCCGAACCUAUUUUUCUGAAUUUCGUAGACCAAAAUCGUUGUUUUAAUAAAAAUUAAAUUGUUUAUUAAAAACAACCACUUUUCGAGGUGACCCGAUCACACCUCAUCAAAAAAAGAUUGGUGGCGACUCCCAUUUUCGUUUUCAUUUUCUAAAACCCAAGUAGACCCCGUUUUUUCAUCAUCCAAAAAAUGGCGUCAACAGUUACCUUUGCAUGCAACUCCUUAUUCUCAAAACACUUGAUUUGCAGUUGUUCUUGCACUAUACGAUUAUCUGUCGAUUUUAUCUCAAGCUCAAAACUUUUUUCAUUACAUUGUGCCAUCAAUUUCGUAAUUGUUUGUCGCAUUGAUGUCAUUCCUUCCUGACACUUGGAUGCCACUUGCUCCUCCUCAAAUGGAUUCAAUGAGAAACUCUUCUUCUGCAUCUUGAUUCUAAACAAUCCAUUGCCACUAGAGUCAAGGAUCAGACACAUUCCCUCUUCAAACAUCACCUUGAAUUUCUUCUCUACCAAUUGCCCCACACUCAACAAAUUUUCAUCAAUCUCAUGUACAAAUAGAACAUCUGAAAUCAACUUAGUUCCAGCACAGCUGUCUAUUGGUAUUGUGCCUCUUCCCUUCACUUCUAGUUAUUCUCCAUUUCAUAUCCUUACUUUUGACUUCAAUAACAUGUCAAGGUCUUUAAACAACUUCUCAUCACAAGUCAUGUGAUUGGUGCAACCACUAUCAACUAACCAAUUUUCACAUGGAGUACUUGAUGAGAAGCAAGAGACAACAAAUAGUUGUUCCUCUUUUUCUUUAACUGUAGCAUGUGCUCCACUUUGCUGAUAAUUUUUUGAUUCAUUACAGAACCUCUCAAUGUGCCCCAUCGAGUUACACUUUCUGCACUUUACAUCUAGCCCUCUCCAACACCUGAAAUGAGCUCCAACACCUGAAAUGAGGAUGGUUAUGUUUUCCACAAAACUUACAUGGAGAAUAUUUGUGAAAAUUUCCAAUACCAUUACCUUUUGCAGCAGUUUCUGAACCACUACCGCCACCACUCUUCUUUCUAUUCCACUUUUGGUCCUUUCUAUUCCACUUUUGGUCCUUUCUUCUUUCACUCUAUUGCAUCUUAGCCUUUAAAGCUCCUUCUAUGCUUCCUUCCUGCCUCAUUAGUCUCCUUUGCUCUUGUGCCUAUGAAGCACUGAUCAACUCCACUACUCCCAAUUGAGUCAAGUCCUUAGUGUUCUCAAAAGAGGCAAUAGUUGCUUCAUAUUUCUUAGGCACAGAGACAAGUAUCUUCUGCACCAGUCUAGAAUCAGAGAGAUCAGUCCCAAGAACUCGUACCUUGCUAGCAAUAUCCAUCAGCUUGUCUGGGUAUUCUUUGAUUGACUCAGACUCCUUCAUUUGUAGCCUCUCGAUUUCUCUGAUCAAGUUCAACACCUUCAUGCUCUUGAUCCUCUUAGAUUUUCUCUGAUCAAGUUCAAAACCUCACAAGUGUAUCUCUCAAAUUUUCUCUCAAAACUCUCACAAAACUUUUCUCACAAGUCCCUCAAGAAAAAUGGCUCUCGAUGCCACUGUUGGUUUAGCAAAGACUUAAUUAAAGUAUAGAACAAAAGAUGAAAUGAAAAGAUGAUUUAAUUCAUUACCAAUGCAGCCCUUAUAUACAAGUCUCAAGUAACAACCUCAACAAAAAUUCAAAUUGCUACUCAUACUAGCAAGCUAACAACUCCUACUCCUAUUAGCAAGCUAACAAAUCUCCCUAGUACUUAGUCUUACUUUUUUAAAAAUAGUUGCAGCCUGAGAUACUAACGUGCUUGCUAAAUUUGACUUCAGUAACCAUGUAAACCAAUCAAGGCCUGACAUUAAUAAAGAAGAAACUUGUCUCUUUUGUUCAUAAGUUACUCAAUUUACUACAUGAUUUUAUAAUCUGCAAUGAGUGUUAUUCAAAAUAUCUUUUAAGUCAGCUGCCAAUCAACAACACACAUCCCAUUUGGUAACUUCUAUUUCGUGAUGUAUGCAUUCGCAGCUAAAAACCUUACGUAUGAAUAGUGCAAGUGAGCUCGAGUUUAAAUACAAACGAGUUUAAUUAAACUUAAGUUCAAAUAGCUUGAUUAUAUUUCAAGUCAAACUUAAAUUUAAAGAUUAAUGUACAAUCAAGUUUGAACUUAGUAUUGAGCCCCUUCAAACUUGAACUUACUAUUAUUCAAGCUCGGCUCUCGAUUACCCCGAAUUUAGUUUGGUUGCUAGACUACUAGUGCUCUCUAUAAAAUCUAAUCAUCUUCAUCCUCACUUUUACCACUCAGAAACAAUGAAGAAUACCCCUUUCCUUCUGUUUUCAUUUCUCCUCCCUUUUUGUUGAAGUGCAUGCAGUCUAUUUGCAUGUUGCAGCUCUUGUGCAUGCUACAUUAAGAAGUUUUCAGUUGUAGUUGCAAUGUAAUUUUGUCUGUUUGAAAAUGAAUAAGCUUGAUGACAGUUUUAGUUGCACCGCUAGUUCUAGUAAAUUCAUGGUGUACUUCCUAGUCCAGUAAACCAGCUUUCUGCAUUCUCAACCAAUCUCCCCACGGCAACUCUACUACCAAGACCCCACUAGACUUAGUCAAUGCUGCCGUCGACAAGUGCCAUUCUCGUGCCUCGUCAAUGAAUAUGUCGCCGAAUUUUCCGGUGGAUCAGAGUGUACAAAAUUACUUGCUUCAAUGCAUGAUGCUGAUUUCAUUACGGUUUUCUAUCACAGUUUUAGAACAUUGUUUUUUUUUUUAUGCUUAAUAAAAUGGACUUUCGCUGAGAAAAUAAAAGAAAACAUUGAAACAAUGCUAUGGAAUUUUGAAUAGUUUAAUUAAUUAAUACAUCAUUUUUGUCUUAAAUGUUUAAAUUUACCAAAAAUAAAUUUUUAAAUACUUUAAUUAAUAAAAUAUUAAUUAAAAGAAUUUAAUAUUAGCAUCUAAGUUGUCUUUUUUUAUGCAUGAUGCUUCAACCUAUGAGCUAAGUGGGCUCAAAUGAUAAAGAAAUUUUGUACUCAUUGGAAUUCAACAAAUUAUUACCGUAUUAUCUAUUAGGGAUAAAUAUCACAAUUAUACAUAAAUUUUAUUUAAUAUAUAAUUGUUAAUAAAUUUUAAUUUGAUGCAAUUAUACACGUGAAACUCUAAUUGUAAUUCAAAUGUAUACUUGAAACUUUAAUUUUGUUUUAAUCUUAUACAUUUAAAAAAAAUAUAUCAAUUUAUUUUUAUAUUGGAUAGAUAUAAUUAUUUAUAUAUGCAAUUUAUAAAUAAAAAAUGAUGUUAUAUCAAUAAUUAUUUUAAUACUUAACAAGAAUUGGAUCAAAUCAAAAUUUUAUGUAUAUAAUUACACAUUAACCCAUAGUUCAUGUAUAGUUUUAGUAUUUAUCCCUAUCUAUUAACUAUCUAGUAGUUAUUAAUAAUUUUAUUAAUUAUUCAUAAUUACUAUGAAUUAUAGACUCGAAUUUAGAAAAACUAAAAUUAUUUCUAAUUUUAAUGCUAUACUUAAUAAGGUUGAAACCAUUAGAUCUAAAUUUAGAACUUUUUUUAGUGUCACAGUCUUUCCAAACUAAAGUUUACGGGGAAUAUUGAUAAAUUGAUGAAUUAAAGUAUUCGAAUGGUUAACAAAAUACAAAUUUUAAAAAAUGGGUGUAAUAGAAUAGAAUAGAAUUUUAUUUUUAAUUUAAUUUAAAGUUAUUUAUAAUUAUAAUAUCAUAUCUUUGUAAGAUAUUUGAAGAGGUAUGAGGGAUGCUUCAGUUUCAGAUUAGUAAAGCUUUGGGAAUUCAUUUGGGGUUAUUUCAUUGCUAAGCAAGGAAUCAAGGAGUAGUGAAAGUUAGAAAAAGAAUCCCCAUAUUCUUAAGCAAAUUAGAAUUUAAUUAAAGAGGAAAGAAGAAUCUACUUUUGCUUUCUUCUUGUUCAAUUUUAAUUAUCAUUUACUUUUGAUACAACAAUAACAAAAAAAAAGGGAAUCAGAAAAUACACACAGACUGAUUAUCAAUCCGUUGGACAUCCACACCAAAAAAAAAAAAGAAAUUCAGACUCUUUUUUUUCAUCAACUAGAGAAAUGGCAGAGGCUAUUGUGUCCUUGGCUGUUGAAAGAAUUUCAGAAUUACUCAUCCGUGAAGCAGUUUUCCUCAAAGAUGUCAAGGAAGAAGUUGAGAGCCUAAACACUGAACUUAAGAGAAUGCAGUGUUUCUUGGAGGACGUUAAUGGGAAGGCGGAACAAGAUGCGCGUCUCCGUAAUCGGGUAUCCGAAAUCAGAGAUCUUGCUUACGAUGCUGAAGAUGUUAUUGUUGGAACAUUGGCAGCAUACAACAAUUAAAUUUGCAAGCAGAGCAAAGAGAAAUCGAAGCAGAAAAGAAAACAAGCAAAGCAGCAAAAUGAAAUUUGAAUGCACAGCAGAAAUUGUAACUGAACAUUGCCCAUUUUCAUUCAAAAUUUGAAAUAUAAAGGAGUUACAAUACAAUUUGACAGUUACCUAAUGUGUUUAAUUGCCCCAACUAAUAUAAACCUAAACACUAGCUAAAAUAUAGCUGACCAAUCAGCCAUUACAUCAAAAGAUCUUAUCACUAGCUUAAUUUUAAUAACAUUGUGAGUAAACUAAAGUUGAACCAAAUCAAAUUACAACAGAACAAAAGAACAAAGUUGGUUGCUUCAUUCGGUCCAAAAUUCAACCUUGCGCACCAAGCAAAAUCAGCUGAACUCGAUAACUGCUGCUGGUCUUGACAGUAGGUGGCUGCUGGUUUUGUGUUGUAAUGCAGUCCAACUUUCAACACUCCUCCUUGGACUGUAUGCAACACAUAUCAAUUGCACUUCUCAAUGCUUCAAAUCGUGCAGUUCUUAAAGGCUUGGUUAGCAUGUCAGCCAGUUGUGCACCUGAGCUACAAUGAACAAGGCUGAUUUCUCUUGUUUGUUCAGCCUCUCGAACAAAAUUCAACUUGAUUUUAAAAUGCUUAGUUUUACCAUGGAACACAGGGUUCUUGGCUAUAGCAACUGCUGACUGGUUGUCCACCCAAAUUUCAGUUGCUUCAGCUUGUGUUUCAUUAAGGUCUUGAAGCAAUUUCAUGAGCCAAAUGGCCUGAUUGACUGCUACUGCUGAGAUGUACUCUGCUUCAGCUGUGGACUGAGCAACAGUCUAUUGCUUCUUUGAACUCCAGCAAAACAUGCCCGAUCCAAGUGUGAAGAAGUAUCCAGAGGUACUCUUCAUGUCAUCAAGGGAUCCUGCCCAGUCACUGUCUAAAAAACCUUCAAGUUUCAAUUCCUUUCCACUUUUAAACAUUACACCAAAGUUGGCAGUGCCUUUGAUGUAUCUAAGAACCCUCUUUGCUGCCUUCAAAUGAGCUUCAUUGCAGCAGUGCAUGAACCUCGAUAGCAAAUUGACACCAAACAUGAUAUCUGGCCUAGUUGCUGUUAGAUACAGUAGGCAACCUACUAGGAUUCGAUAAUGUCUCUCAUCAACCCUUUGCUGAUCACCACUUUUUGUCAGCUUUUCUCUUUGAGCCACUGGUGUCUUACUGUUUUACAGUUUUGCAUGUAGAAUUUACCAAGGAUCUUCAAAGCAAAUGUGUGUUGGCUGAUGAAGAUGCCUUGAUCAGACUGGUGAACUUUCAUGCCAAGAAAGUAUGUCAUGAUUCCCAAAUCAGUCAUCUCGAACACUUGCUGCAUUUGAACCUUGAACUCGUCAAUGAGCUCAACUUUACUCCCUGUCACUAACAAAUCAUCCACAUACAAGGAGACAAUCAUCAAAGUUUCCUGUUCUGACUUCUUAACAGAAAAGGUUGGUUCACUAGGACUCUCAAGCUUGGUCAGGUAACUAUCAACUCUGUCAUACCAGGCCCUUGGUGCCUGUUUUAGGCCAUAAAGGGUCUUUCUCAGCUUGUACACUUUGUCUUCAUGUCCUGUAACUUCAAAACCUUCUGGUUGAUCGAUGAAGAUCUCCUCCUUGAGAAAGCCAUUCAGGAAUGUUGAUUUUACAUCCAAUUAGUGAACCCUCCAGUGUUUUUGAGCAGCUAAAGAAAAUAGGAGCUUGAUUGUGUCCAGCCUUGCUACUGGAGCAAAUGUCUCCAAGAAGUCCACACCAUAUUGCUGACUAUAGCCCUUCACCACAAGCCUGGCCUUGUGCUUGUUCAAUAAGCCAUCAGCAUUGUAUUUGGCUCUAUACACCCACUUAACACCUAUGAUCUUCUUGUGUUCUGGUCUAUUCACCAAUUCUCAUGUCUAAUUCUUGUUAAUCAUUUCCAAUUCAGCCUCCAUAGCUUUCAUCCAAUUCCUAUCUUUGGCAGCCUCCUCAAAAUCUGAAGGUUCAAUCACAGCAACACUGCACCUUUGAUAAAUAUCAGUCAAAGUUCUGGUGCCCCUCACUGGUAUAUCAUCAACAACAUCAUCAAUUGGUCCCUCUUCUGUAUGCUCAGCUAUCAAGUCCAAAUGGUCCAUCUCAAACAUGCCUGCUUCAACACCAUUCCAGUUCCACACCUUUUCUUCAUCAAAUUUCACAUCUCUGCUGACUAAGACCUUCUUUGCUGUAGGGUCAUACACUCUAUAACCCUUUUUGUUGCUACUAUAGCCAACAAGGAUUCCUGGAAUAGCUCUACUCUCGAGCUUGGUUCUCUUUUCCACUGGAACAAGAGCAUAACACACACAGCCAAACACUUUCAGGUGUGUUACCACUAGUUUGACUCCAUACCAAGCUUCAAAAGGUGUUUUGCCCUUGACUGCUCGAGUUGGCAGCCUAUUUAGCAGGUAUACUGAGGUGUUGACUGCUUCAACCCAAAACUGACUUGAAAGUUUGCUUUGAAAUAACAGACACCUGGCCAUGUUCAACACAGUUCUGUUUUUCCUUUCACUUACUCCAUUCUGUUAAGGAGUAUAAACUGUUGUGAGCUGAUGAUGAAUCCCAGCACCGUGACAAAGCUUUUGAAAUUUGUCAUUCACAUAUUCUGAGCCAUUAUCAGUCCUUAAGGCUCUAAUUUUACAGCCUGAUUGAUUUUCAGCAUAUGCCUUGAAUCUGCAGAAGGCUUCAAAUACUUCUGACUUUUGCUUCAUAAAGUAGACCCAACACAUCCUUGUUAGAUCAUCUAUAAACAGAGCAAAAUACUUGUUUUCACUGAUUGAAGGUGUUUUCAUAGGACCACAAACAUCAGAGUGCACCAAUUCGAGCUUGUUUUAAGCUCUCCAAGCACUGUAGCAGGAAAAGGCAGUCUAGCCUGCUUGCCAAGCUGACAAACCUCACAAACAGUCUCAUUAGCUUCAAUAUUUGAAAUGUCAUCAACCAAAUUCAGCCUAUGCAACAGACCAAUGGAUCUGAAAUUGGCAUGGCCUAGUCUCCUAUGCCAUAAGUUUGUAUUAUCAACCAGACUAGUGUAUGCCUUUCUUUCCACUUGGCUAACAUCCAGCAUAAAGCACCUAUCAGCCAUAGAGACUGUGACUAGCUCCUAACCAUGCAUGUCUUGAACAAUACAGCAACCAUUUUUAAAGACCAAAGUAUAGUCUUUUUCCACUAAUUGGCCUACACUAAGCAGGUUCUGAUCUAAAUCAAGACAAAUAGCACAUCAGUGAUUAGCUUGUUACCUAAACCAGUGCUUACCAGCACAUUGCCCUUGCCCUUAACCUCAAUCAGCUUACCAUCUCUAAUUCUGAUUUUCGAGUGGAAGCUUCUGUCUAAGUCUUUAAACAGCUUCUCAUCAGCUGCCAUAUGGUGUGAGCAGCCAUUGUCUAGUAGCCAAUCAUUGCUGGCCUUUGUUGUGCCAGCAAAACAUGUUGCUGUAAACACAUGCUCCUCCUGUGCUUGCAAAUCCUCAGCUGGUCGAGCCUGUUGCUGAGUGGUCUCCUUUGGUUUGCCCUUGCACACUUUCUCCACAUGACCAAACUGCUUGCACUUUCUGUGUUGGAUAUCUGGCCUAAACCAGCAGUACUUUUCUGAGUGUGUUGUCUUCUUACAAUGAGCACAUGGUGGAAACACCAUUUUUGCUUCAUCUCUUCCUGAUUUGGUCCUCCUAUUGUGCCAAGGCUUUUUGCCUUUUGCACUCACACUCGAGCCCUCACUGGCUUUGGCCUGAAAAGCUGCCUCUGGAUUCUCCUUGUAACAGCCCGAUUCUGGGCCUAGUCGGAAUAGUAGUUUCGGGACCACAAAUCUGACGAGGGAAAAUAUGGUUAUUAUUAUAUUUUUAUGGUCUACAAUUUCACGGAAAAUUUUCGUAAAAAUUUCGUUCGAAAAUUUCGACGUUUGGGCACUCAAUUUAGUCAAAAGGACUAAAUUAUAAAAAGUGCAAAAAUUGAGUUCUACAUCUUAGAGGUGUCUAAUUGUUAUGAAAUUAUAAGUUGGGGGUCCUUAAGUGGUAAUUAGACCAUUAGUAAUUGAUGGACAAAAAUAGACAUAAGGAAUGGGUGAAAUAGAUUUUUUUUAAAUGGGGGCAUUUUAGUUAUUUGGUAAUAAAAAGAAAUAAAAUGGGAAAAAGAUGGAGAAAUUGUGUCAUCUUCUCCAUAGUUGCUGCCAAAUUUUGGAAGACACCAUAGCUAGGGUUUCUUUGCUUUCUCAAGCUCAUAGUAAGUGCAUCUUAGCCCCGUUUUUAAUGUUCUUUGCAUUUUUGGAAUCCUCGUAGCUCGGUUUAGCUUAUUCUAGCAAUAAUUCGUGUUAGGGUUCAUAUUUGGAAAAAUACCCAUAGGUGAAAAGUGUUUAUUUUGCUGUUUUAUGGCAGAAUAUGAAGCUAGAAAUUAUGUUAAACAACUUUUGCUAAGCGAUUUUAAGCGAAAACGGGUAAAUAGACAUAAUCGGUAAAAAUAAUUGAUGUUCAAAAGUAUGUGUUAGAGUGGGAAUUUGAUGUUACCAUAGAAGGGAAAAAUGUUCAGUAUGUCAUAAAAUAUAAGAAUAAGAGAUGAAGUUUAAUUUCCGAGCUUGGGGACAAAAGUGUAAUUAUGCAAAAGUUUGGGGGCAAAAUUGUAAUUUUUCAAAAAGUUGGGUGGUGGAUUAUUUUAAUAAAUGUGAACAUUAAAUGAGUUAAAUUUGCUAUUAUAGAUCAAGAAAGACGAGAAAACUACCUCAAACGGGGAAAAGAGAAAGUAGUGGAGUAAAUUGCAAAAUUACGAUAUUUUGCACCGAGGUAAGUAAACACGUGACUUAAUGUAUUAUUUUGAUAUUAUUUGAUAUGUGUUGAGAUUUAUUUGAAUAUAAAAUAAAUAUUUGGCAAGAUUCCAAAAAUUUUGUUAAAUAGAGAAAUGUGGUAAGGGGUUGCAAAACACGGUUUUUGGUUGAACACUCGGAAUAGGCCGGAGCAUAUUGCAUAAAAAGGGGUUGCUGUGUGCUGAUUCCCCGAUUCAUUGGUGGUUGCUAAGUGCUGAUUCCACCGUAUUUUUAAAUGUGAAAGAGGGUUGCUAAGUGCUAAUUCCCCCGAGGGGUUGCUAAGUGAUGAUUCCCCUACCUAUUGGUGGUUGCUAAGUGCUGAUUCCACCAUAUCUUUGAAAUGUAAAGGGGGUUGCUAAGUGCUGAUUCCCCCAAGGGGUUGCUGUGUGCUGAUUCCCCGAUUCAUUGGUGGUUGCUAAGUGCGGAAUCCACCGAAAACGGUUAACAUUUUGAGUCUUCAACGAGUAAAUUGGGAAGGUGAAUAUUCAUGUAUGUGGUGGACAAGUUUAUGGGAGGAAUAUUGGGUUUGAUACAGAAUCAACCCAUGUAUAAGAUGGGAGGAAAUAUCAAAAAUGCAAAAGAAACAAUUUAAAUACAAAACUGUGUUGAACAACAACAGUUGGGAAACUUUGAAAAAUCACCAUAAAUGGCGGGAAAUGAAUGGGAGGUUUAAUAAUAUAUGAAAUUGAAGCUGGAUGAGUCUAUUUUCAUAUGAAAGAAAUAGAGCAAGUAAAAGAGUUGUAUUUUUGGAGAUAUUUGAAUUUUACUGAGACAGGGCUGGAGUGAUUUCGAAAUCCCCUGUUCCAACUUUGGAAAAUCACUAAAAAUUAUAAAAAAAUAAUUAUGGCUUGAAAUCUAUAUUCCUGGAUUACUUUUUGAGUCUAUUUUUAAUAGAAACAAAGGAUAACAUUUUUGAAACUUGUACAGAGAGUUAUGUGAAUUUUUGUAAGGGGAGGUCAGGACUGUCGGGCAGGGAAACAGGGGAAGAUUUAAAGAAUAAACUGUACUGAUUGGCUUGACCAAAAAUUCUGAAAAUUUUAUGGUAGAAAUACUUAUGGGUCUAGUUUCAGGGAAAUUUUACAGAAUUCAAUUUGGAGCCCUGUAGCUCCGGAUAAAAAUAAAUUAGUGGUCAUGAUGCAGAAAACCAGCUUACUGGAAAUUACACAAACAAUGAAAUUUAUUUGUGAAUAAAUUUAUAUUAUGGUGUAGUCAUGUGAGAAAUUACUUAUUUGUCAUAUGCUUACUUACUAAGCUAUAUGCUUACUUGUUUUUAUUUUUCUCUUGAUUAUAGUGAUUUCCAUCAACUCAGAAUUGGAACGGAGUCAGACAAUCAUCUACACUAUCAUCCACGUUUGGGUAUUUUGUUACUAGUAUUCCGGAAAUUAUGGCAUGUAUAGACGACUUAUGUAAUGUGGAGUCACCAUGUAAAUAUAUGUUAUGGUUCGAUUUAAAAUGUAGUGUUUAUUAAUGGUUAAAUUGUGUAUGUUUAUACAACUGAACUUGGUUGGAAUAUUGAAUUGUGUUUGAAAACUUGCAGGAGGUUUAAGCAAAAAUAAGCAGAAAUGCUGUCGAAUUUUUUUUUUAAAUUUAGUAAUACCUCAUACUCUGUUCUGAUCAGGAAUGCGGGUAAGGGGUGUUACACUCCUCCUGCCUAUUUGCUCUCCUUUGAUCAAGUGCAUACAGGGAGUUUAUCAGCUUAGACAAUGAAAUGGAUGAUAAGUCCUUCGAGUCCUCAAGUGAGGAGAUUUUUGACUCGAAUUUCUCAGGGAGAGUUGUGAUGACCUUUUCAACAACUCUGCUCUCUGUGAAGGCCACUCCUAGGAGCCUUAUGUUGUUGACAAUGGCCAUUAUCCUGUUUGAGUACUGCUUGAUGGUCUUAGACUCCUUCAUCCUCAAAUUCUCAAAGUCUCUCCUGAGGUUGAUCACCUGCUGUUACUUUGUCUUGUCAGUUCCCAUGAAGUCCUCCUUCAAUUUCUCCCAUGCCUGCUUUGAUGAGUCACAGGCCAUGAUGCGAGUGAAUAUCACAUCAGACACUCCAUUUUAUAGACAGGCCAUAGCCUUGUGCUUCUUGGCUCGCUCCUCAGCAUGUUGUCUCAUCUGUGCAAUGGUGGGAUUAGCUCUCAAUGGAGGUGGCUCAGCAUCAUUUUCGAUUACACUCCAAAGAUCAUGUGCCUGGAGGUAAGUCUUCAUUUUGACUAUCCAAAUGUGAUAGUUUUCUCCAGUGAACACUGAUGGAGGUGGUAGAGUGAAACUCAUUCUGCUUAACUGAGUUCAAAGGCUUCGAUCUCUUCUAAUUCUAAGCUAUGCUUUUGCUUUUGGUUUGAAAACAACAAAAUGCAAAGGCCCCUUAAAGAUUCAGGCUCAUGAUACCAUUUUUUGGAACAUUGGCAACAUACAAUAAUUAAAUUUGCAAGCAGAGCAAAGAAAAAUCGAAGCGGAAAAGAAAACAAGCAAAACAGCAAAAUGAAAUUUGAAUGCACAGCAGAAAUUGUAACUGAACAUUGCCCAUUUUCAUUCAAAAUUUGAAAUAUAAAGGAGUUACAAUACAAUUUGACAGUUACCUAAUGUGUUUAACUGCCCCCAACUAAUAUAAACCUAAACAUUAGCUAAAAUAUAGCUGACCAAUCAGCCAUUACAUCAAAAGAUCUUAUCACUAGCUUAAUUUUAAUAACAUUGUGAGUAAACUAAAGUUGAACCAAAUCAAAUUACAACAGAACAAAAGAACAAAGUUGGUUGCUUCAUUCGGUCCAAAAUUCAAACUUGCGCACCAAGUAAAAUCGGCUGAACUCGAUAACUGCUGCUGGUCUUGACAGUAAGUGGCUGCUGGUUUUGUGUUGUAAUGCAGCCCAACUUUCAACGGUUAUCGACUCCUUCAUCCUUGAACAUGCACAUCAAGGAGGCUUUCAAGGAAUCGUCAAGAGAUUCACCUCCAUUUGCACCAAACCUUAUCAUCUGCACAAAAUCGGGGUGCAGCUCAAAGCAAUCCAGACCAAGCUCCAAAACAUUUCCAAGAAUCUUUCAGCUUAUGAGAUAUCCCGCGAUGGAGAAGGUUCUAGCUCAGUUCUCAACCUGCAAUGACAGUUAAGAAGGGAAUACUCACAUGCUGAGGAAGAGGACGUUGUUAGCUUGGAGGUUAGCACGAAGGAUGUCAUGACCAAGUUUAUAACUGAAGAAGAUAGGCCCCACGCUGUGGUUUCCAUAGUCGGUAUGGGGGGCCUCGGAAAGACAACUCUUGCCAGAAAAGUAUAUAAUCAUCAUGAUGUGAAACGCCAUUUUGAUUUCUUGGCUUGGUUUUCUAUCUCUCAACAAUGGAAGCCGAGAGAAGUUUUGCUUAGUGUCUUGAUGAAAGUUCUCCCUCCUUCUAACGAUGAAAGAGAAAAAUUGAGAAAAUGGAUGAGAUUGAUCUAAGGAAAACGUUUUUUGAUGCUUUGAAAGAAAAGCGGUAUUUGGUGGUCCUCGAUGAUAUUUGGAGAAGCGAGGACUGGGAUAUUCUUAAACCUGCUUUUCCACGAGGAAGAAAGGGAAGCAAAAUAUUGCUCACAACACGAAUAAAAAAUGUAGCUUCACGUGCCGAUCCUUGGAGCACUCCCGUGGAGCUCUAACUUCUUACAGAUGAUGAAAGUUUGAAUCUUUUAUGUAGGAAAGCAUUCCCACGGAGCAAAAUGGGUUCUCAAUGCUGCUCAGAAGAAUUUGUGAAGCUUGGAAAAGAUAUGGUAAAAAAAUGUGGAGGCUUGCCUUUAGCAAUUGUUGUGUUGGGUUGCUUGCUGGCAACAAAACAGUCAGUGGCUCAAUAGGAGAUGGUUCAUAAAAACAUCCAUGGACACUUAAAUGAGCUCCCACACCAAGAUCGUCAAUAUGGUGCGGUGAACAGAAUUUUGGUUUUAAGCUACAAUGACUUGCCUUAUCCUUUAAAACCAUGCUUUUUGUAUCUUAGUCAUUAUCCAGAAGAUUGAGAGAUACCGAAAAAAGAACUUAUUCAUUUAUGGAUCACUGAAGGUUUCAUUUUGGAAAACGAAGAAUUCUUAAUGGAGGAUUUAGGCGAAAAAUUCCUAGAAGAGCUUAUAGAUAGGAGCUUGGUUGAAGUUAGCAGGCGAGACUAUACAGGAACAAAUGUGGAGACAUGUCGAGUGCAUGAUCUCUUGAGGGACUUGUGUAUGAAGAAAGCAAGAGAGGAGAAGUUCUUGGAAAUUAUUCAACAACCACUGCAUGAACUUGAAGUGACAUUGGCAGAAUCUAUGCUACGAAGAAUUUCUAUUCAUCCUAGUAAAUCGAAAGUUUAUUUGAAGGAAGAGCAUCCAAAAUUACGCUCUUUGUUGUUUUCUCAGAAUAAGAAAUGGGUAGAAUUAAGCAUUUCAAAAUACAAAAGCUUCAAAUUUUUAAGGGUGUUGACUCUUGCAAAAAGGGGCGAUGAGUGGUGGCAUGUGUCGACUGAAAUUGGUAAUCUCCAAGAUUUGAGAUACUUGAAGUUAUACUACACUGAAAACAUGAUUUUGCCUCGAUCUAUUGGCAGGUUGAAGAAUCUGUACACUUUAUACAUCAACUGUCAUGACAUUGUAAUUCCAGAUGGUGUGUUUAAGUUAGAACGUUUAAGGCAUUUUGUAAUAAAAGUGGAUUUUAAGUUAACCGCAUAUCGUUGGCGGCAAAGGUUCACUUCAAAAAAUAUUGAAACUUUGAAGUUCAUAGUGGUGGAUGAGAAGGCGGCUGAAAAUAAUGCGGUUCUUAGGUGGACUAAUAUUCAGAGUUUAGAAAUAGCAUUUACUGGUGCAGAAUAUGUGAAGCCUACCCUAAUCUUGCUACCCAAAUUGUAACGCCUUAGGUCACUGUCCUUAUGUUUUUUUGGUGGCUCACACCUAAACUUAGAACCCCUUUCUCAAUAUUAUCACCUCUCCAAACUUAAAUUAUGGGGGCGGAUAGAAGAUGAGCCACGUCCGAACGGUCAUGUUUUGAAAUUUCAUCCAUCAAAUAUUGUCAAAUUAACUUUGGUUGGCUAUGAGCUGAGACAAGAUCCAAUGGCGGUAUUAGAAAAGCUAUGUCAUUUGAAGAUUCUCUAUUUGACGGAAGCAUAUAUUGGGAGUAAAAUGGUGUGCUCUGCAAAUGGAUUUCCUAAACUUGAUUAUCUUCAAAUGUCUUCGUUACUUGAGUUGGAGGAAUGGGAAAUAGAAGAAGGUGCAAUGACAUGCCUUCGAGAAUUGGGGUUGGUCCAAGUUUGGAGAUUAAGGAUGCUUCCAGAAGGAUUGAGGUACAUUACUACUCUCCAAGAAUUGAAUUUAAGAGGAAUAUCUUGGUCAUUGAAAGAAAGGAUUAAAGUGAUAGAUAUAUAUCUAAUGCUUCCCAAUUUGCUUUUUUUUUUAACAUUUAUCUUCUUAUUAAUUGGUCAUUUGCAUCUAUUUGAUUGAAAUUAAUCAAUUUAAACCAAAGAAAGAAAUUCUAAGUAACUCAUUAGAUGUUAAAUGGUUAAAUUCAUUAUUUAAAUAGUAAAAUAACGCCUUUAAAUUUACAACUCACUAUUUCUAUUAAAAAUUAGAUGAUUCAAUGUCAAUCAAAACAUAUAACAUAUAACGUGUAUACUUUUAUAUGACAUAACAAAAAAUAUGUACGAUUUUUUAUAACCAAAUGUAUAAAAUGACUUAUGUGGAAUGAUGAUUAAACUUUUUUAUCAAGUACCCGUUUAGCACAAGUUCAAACUAUAUGACUCCCAUCCCCACCCGAAUAUUAUAUAAAAAGAGUCAACAUUAAUCAUUUUGAAACUUUUAACCGUUUAAUCAAUGAUAUUAAUCAUUCCAUAAAGUUUUUUUAAUCAAAAUCAUCACACAGUAUUAAAUACUUUUUACUUAUUUAAUAUUUACUAAGAAUAAACCGAUAAUUAAAUUUCUUUGAGUCUAGAUUUAUUUCAACUUUUACCUUGAACCAAACACGGUACUGUAACAUAUCUCGUAAUUCGCUAAUCAUCAGGUUAAUCAAACAUUUUGUGAACUAAACUCCCUUUUAAUCUAAAUUCACAAAAGUUUGUGUGCUUAAGAAAGUUGAGUUUCACAUAAUUUAUUCUUCCUAUAAACAAUAAGAACAAAGUAGCGACUCAACUUUCUAUUGAAGACUUGUUUUAAUAAGGUUACACAAAUCAAAAUGUAGUAAAUUCAGGGAACUCUAUGUACUAAGAUAAUCGUGUUAAAUGCUUCAUUUUCAGUCAACCGAGAAACAUUUAUAUACAUGUUUCUGAAAAGUAAAAAUCUUAGCCUCACAUUUGUAAGCAGUUUUACUCUGAUAUGAGACAAGCCUACUGAUGAAACAGAAGUUACGGCAAGGUGAUCAGAAGAGGCAUUCACUAACCUCACACGAUAAUGUUGUUUAAUCAGAGAUCAAGGCAAUUGACGAAGCUGCUGAUUUUCUUUCCGGAGAGACUUCACCUCUUCCAUCAGUUCAGCUUGGUUCUGUAAUAUGGAGCUCAUCACACGAGACAUCUCCAUCUGUUCCAAUAAUUUCCGCAAAUUAGAGCUGAGAAUAUGUACAUGAAAGCCAAAGAAACAUAAAGGAAAGGACUGAUAGGAAAAUACCUCCUGCAUGUGGAAUUGUCUUAAAAUUUCAAUAAGCAAAUUCCUCAUAUCCCCAUGAAUGGAUUUCUGAAAUGAAUCGAGGGUUUCUUCUAGAGUUCGUUGAAAUAGCUGAAGAGUAAAGUUGCUUCCUUGUUGGGGAUCUUGUUGAGAUGCCUUGGGGGGUUGUAAUGUUCCUCCCUAUUAAGGUCACAAUCAAUGCAGUGUCAUGCCCGGAAAAAAAACUAUGAAAUAUAUAGAAAUUCGUAAAAAUCCUUCAUCCAGGAUGACUUCAAUACUCAAAUGCAUCAAAAGACCAAAGUGAUUAGAGAAAUUAAUGUAGUGAAUAGUUAUUUAACCAAACCAGAUAUCAUACAUUCAUUGCUGGAAGAACUCCUGAUGCUGCUACAGUCAAUGAAUCAGACCUCGAUAACAGGCUAUUAAACAGAUCUUCUCUGGUUUCAGCUCUCAUUUUCUUUAUUUUUGGAGAAGCCACCAAAUGGGAUGUUCCAUCACUAAAAGCAGAUGUAGUACUAAUUCUCUCAGCAUAUGUUGAAAACAUUCGAGGCAGUGCUAAAGAUGCUAGUUUUGGAGAGUCAAGGCUGCCAGCUCUAGUAAUGCCUUUUGAACCAAAAGAUAAAGCAGACAUGGAGCUCGAGGAGAAAUGUUCAGGAAAUUCCAAUGAAGAAGUCUCUUGAUUUGAAGAGACAUCUUUCGUGUGUACGUUUUCAUAGCUCAUGUUAGAAAUGGUCUGGCUGAGCAUUGAAGACUGAUCUUGUCCAGCAUAAAUAGAGCUCGUUGUCAGACCACCAGAAGCUGGCAUCCCAAAACGAGAUGGCAGCUGGCGAAGGUGAGCAAAUUUGUCAGAUAUCUUCUCACCACCCC